Molecule: long non-coding RNA, 50546 nt
Filed under: Setaria italica (foxtail millet)
Lineage: Eukaryota; Viridiplantae; Streptophyta; Magnoliopsida; Poales; Poaceae
Description: long non-coding RNA (SITA_LNC004354)
Source: RNAcentral
GAUAUUUUCUAUAAAACAAGGUGGAAUCGGGCCAUUAAGGUAGUUAUAUGAUAGAUCAAGGGCAUCCAGCUCUGUGGCAUUGCAAAUUGAGGGAGAUACAUGGCCGUGUAUAGGGCCAGAAAGCUGGUUGAAAGAGAGAUCAAGGUGAGUUAAUAUAGGAAGACUGAAAAUAGAUGGUGGAAUCUCCCCUGGAAGGACAAUAGAAAACAUUAAGUUAGAAAGUGUUUCCCCUUCUACAAAUUGAAAUCAGAAGAUGCUACCUUCUAUUUUGUUCAGAACAUGAAUACUUGACCCUUUCUCAAGAAAAGUAAAAGUUGAUAUCGUACCAUAGAAAUAUAUAUCCCAAGUUUAUUUAUUUUAUUUUGAGAAAAUUGCAUUACUAGUCUCUAAAUAAAUGGCCAAAACUUGUGUGGUAACCUCGCCGACCCUUGCACUUGUUGCAAAUUACUUUCCCAACCCCCUCAUCUUUGUUGUGCCACGUGUUAGGCAAUGGUUCGAUGCUGGUUCAACUCAUUAAUUUGCUAAUAGUGGGGUGGGUGAGAUUAGUGUGCAAGUUUAAGGACUACCGGAAGAAUUUAGUGCACCUACGGACCAUAGAAUUUCAUAAUCGUAGGACCCAUGAAGCUGAAAUGAUCCGGACCCAUCAUGGAUCAUAAUUUUAUGGUAUUAUGAUUUAUGAUACCCAGUGUAUAGUCCUGUACCAUCAAAAUGAAUUGGUAAGAUCACUUAUAUAGGAUCCCCAUCCGAACAUCAAAAUUUGUUAAUAUCUGAAAUUAAGUAAAUCCAUGAGUAAUUAUAUAUGUUUCUUCAGUUUAAUUCAACAUCUUUUACUCUUUGCAUGACAUCUGACCAUUAAUUGUUUUAAAUUAUGAUUAGAUAAUGUUUGGAGUUAAGUUGAAAUGUAGAAUUGACAUUGACAUGAAUAAGUGGACUUGAGUUUACAAGAAUUAAUAAAUUUAUAAAAAAUAGCAUUGUAGAUUUCUUUUCAAGAACUUGUUUAACUUUUUAAUAUAUGCAUUUUUUACUCAUUACGCUGCAAAAUCCUCCCCCAAAGUUCUUGACACAAUGUCAAACUCAUUUGUUGUGUUUAACCUCUUGCAAUGAUCUAUAUAAGCUGCCAGCUUUUGUAUAAGAGGGCCGGGGUUAGAGAAGUAUAUCGUGUCAACUGCACCAAUGAAGUUAUUUUAGAGUAAACUAGAGCAAAUGAGAAGCUUUAUGAGCCCUAAUACCCAUUUAAGAUUUCCAUUGUUAAUUAUUUUAGUAUUCAACAUUGAGUCAACUUUUCUAAAUAAAAGUUGAUUAGGCUUUUACACAUAGUUUGAAUCAUAGUUAAAUGAUUUAGAAUGAUAUCCAACUUGAAUCAUAAAGUAUACAUUUAGAUGUUUCACAUAGUUUGGCUUUUCUAAAAGUUAAAUGUUUAAAUGAUAUCAUUUAUACUUCAAUAUUUACAAUUAAAAUAUGGAUAAAUUAUAACUCGGUUUUCCCUAAUUAUUGAUAAAAUGACCCAUGUCAAUAUGAAUGUGUUUUCUAAAUAAACUUUGUCUAGCCCAACACGACAGAUGUAUUAAUUCGAUAAGAUGUGUUCAUCUUUCUAAAGUUAAGUGUGUAAUGGGUAUAAUUUAUACAUGAACAUUUAUGAAUAAAAUAUGAUAAGGUUUUACCUCAGUUUUUGUAAAUAAAGUAUAAUUUGCAUUAAUUCCAACAUAGGUUAUUUUUCUUUCUAUAGUAUCCUUCACAUAUGUUUUGUUAAUUAAAAUAAACUGGGUGUGACAAGAGCAAUCUUGGUUCAAAUCCUAUAUACUGCACAUGUGCAUAUUUUGUGUGAGAAAUUGUAUGAUGUGUGACAGCUAGAAAUUUGCUAGCUACAUAUACCUAACUUUUUAUGCGCGGGUGCGGCUGACUAGCUUCUCCAGAGCAAGCAGACUCAUGCCCCUCCAGGUGUAGUUUGGUCAAGGAGGGAGCAGAGGCGCCGGCCACCUCAGAAAUCUGUCACGGUUUAACUUGUCACUUGUGGCAUGUCGGGCGUAGGGCUAUGUUUUUUUUAACUAAAUAGCACAGAAUGGAUAAUACAGCAUUUUGCAAUCGCAAAUAUGUGUGCGUUUGUGGGUAGGGGUAUUGUUACGUACCGUUGAGAGAAUUAAAAGAAAGAUCCAGCAUUGUUAGCUGGGUCAAAUUAACUAUUGAGCUUGGUACGCUUCCGGAAAAAUUGCAAACUCGAAGAACCAAAUUUGUGAGUUCACCAAUUGCAGCUGGCAUUGGUCCUGAAAACCCACAUGAUACUAUAUACAUGUUUCUCAAAUUUGUGAGUUGCCAAUUGGAGCCGGCAUUGAACCUGAAAACCCAGAAUGCUCGAUAUACAUGUUUCUCAAAUUUGUGAGCUUGCCAAUUGCAGGCGGCAUUGGUCCUGAAAACCCAACAUCCUCGAUAUACAAGUUUCUCAAAUUUGUGAGUUCACCAAUUGCAGCUGGCAUUGGUCCUGAAAACCCAACAUCCUUGAUAUACAAGUUUCUUAAAUUUGUGAGUCCACCAAUUGCAGCUGGCAUUGGUCCUGAAAACGUAGAUAAUAUAUGCAAGUUUCUCAAAUUUGUGAGGUUGCCGAUAGAAGAUGGCAUGGAGCCAUAUGUUGUGCAAUCAUCCAUUGCAAGUGUUUGCAAGCCCGUGAGGUUUCCAACUGCAUGAAGUACUGGCCUAGGGAGGUUGCAGUCUUGGAUUUUCAAGUUUUUCAAGUUCAUGAAGUUGCUAAGUAAGGUAGGCGGUACCCCAGAGAAGUUACAUCCAAAGAGUCCCAAACUUGUUAGGUUUUUGUGCUGGCCAAUCCAUGAGAAAAUUGGACCUAAGUCGCUUCCUGAGUCCAAAUCGUGGUCCAACUCAUUAUCCAAAAAACAAUCAAGGUCCAACUGGUGUAGAGACUCAAGUCUACCGAAUGCAGAGAGAAAAUCCAUAGAAAUUAAAUUCCUUUUAAGACCCAACUCCUUCAACGAUGUGAAAUUACUAGAAGGCGUUGGUAUGUCAUAUACCAAGUUGGUCCCAUCAAGUCUCAAAGUCUCUAAAGAGCUGGCAUUAGAAAAGUUUGGCACAUGGCCUGAGAGAUUCAUAUUAUAGGACAAAUCAAGGACCCUUAGAUUUUUUGAUUGAAAGGGUCUAGAUGGUAACGGCCCCUCAAGAUCUGUCUGAGAAAGUUGAAGCACGGUUAAAUUGGGAAAAUCCAUGAAGAACUCUGGAAAUGGACGACCACUAGGUUCAUAAAAGUUUUCUUGGAGUUUGAUCACAACAAGAGAAUGGAGUCUCGAGAGCGCUUUAUGAAUAGGACCACUCAGGUGACAAUCAGCUAAACUAAGUACCUGAAGUUGAGGAACAUAUGCAGCAAGAGAUGUGCCCCACUCUUCUCCACUAUUAGACAAAUCCACCGAGUCAAGGUAGAGCUCUCUUAAGUUGCUGAGGUUUACCACAAAGGUAUCAAAACUUGAUUCCCAUAAAUAGUUAUAAUAAUCAUAAUAGUUUGGACCAUAAAAACCGAGAGAAUAAUCAAUAUUGUAUGUUGAAAGAUCCAAUGAGAGAAGGUUCACUAGUUUACUGAUGCUAGGAGGUAUCUGACCAUAUAAUCCUGAAUUGGAAAGGUUUAGGUGGGUUAAAAAAGUGAACCUCUCAAAACCAGCAGAACGGAUGUUGUCUCCACCGAUGUCAUUCAUGCUAAGGUCGAGUCGCCGAAGUGAUAUGAGGCUGAAGAGUGCAGGGUCCAAGCCAUGACUUGACAAGCAACGGUUGUUGAGGUCGAGAAUGGUGACAUGGCCAGACGAAGGGUCACAGCCAACACCCUCCCAGAGACAACAGUCGGUACCAUUUCGCCAUGAUGAAAGCCUGGUGGUGGAUCUGUGAAGGAGAAGGACUUCUUCAGCUGGAGGAGCGCCUUAGCUUGGUUUGGAUGGCACAAAAAUGAGACAGGGAGGUGAGUGAGGUUACCACCAUCAGCACGGUGGGCAAUAGAGGUGGAGAGUAGUGUGUGUAGCUGAGCAAGAAAGAGCAGUAACACCCAGCCGAUGGAAGCCAUAGCAACUCAGUAUGAGCCGAUGAUAGGCUUACAAAGAGGCACAAGGCAGAUACAUAGUAAUGCGUGACAGAUUGUUAUGCAGCUUCCAGCUGCUGUCAAGUCUUCGUCCAUUAAUAAAUUAAUUAAUUUACGAGUACCAUGGCUAAGCUGUACGCAAUUGCGACACCUGAGGAGACUUGACUGUACCAUGGGCUAGCUGUACGCAAUUGCUACACCUGAGGAGACUUGAUUAGCCUUUCGUCAAAUGCUGUUGGUAUCAUCCACUGCUACAACAGUGACCGGUAAUUGGAAGUCUCACUAUAGCAAGACUUCCAAGUCAACUAAGCCGGCCGCUACAUUCUGAGGAAGGUGGAAUUGAAGAUCAAAUCAAGUUGGGCGUUGGGAUGAAUUAGUCCGCACUCCGCAGAUAACAACAUCGAAUAUGCUGAUCUGAUGAUGUGCUUCAUUUUCUUUUUGGUUGGAGUGGAGCGGCAUCAAGAUCCUACUGCUGUGGAAAACACUGACUUGACUCGUUUUAUCUCGCACAAAACGUGGCUGAAGAUGAUAGUGGUGCUUAAAGAAUCAGCGAGAAGGAGCAAGUAAAAAUGCAGUUGAGCUGCAGCUGAAACAUGUCGCGACGUAUUCCAGCCGCGGUAGUUCUCGUCUUCUCGAAGAAGACGUUGCAGUGUUCACGUCUAGAGCUCAUCCAAUCCAUAGCGUUCCUCCGGCCGAACCGUGCGAUACGAAGGAGACGUCGCGUCACAUGCAUGUUCCUCAGGUCGCCUUUGCCUACGACCAAUAAGACGAUGACACCAGAACCUUUUUGUUUUUUUUUCUAAUCAGCAGCUUUCAAAGCGGGUACCCGCGGACAGCGCUGACCGUGUCAAAUUUGGCGAGCAUUAGCCGCAGUUGCACUCGUCCACCACCACUGAUUGCUGAAGCUCCCUACAAUACAGGGUAAGGAACAUCUAAGAUCUGAGCAAGUAAAGUCAGGAUAUUUAACUAUUUGUCAUUCUUACGGAUGGUGCUCCUUCAAAAACAACUCUAACGAAUUCCUACAUAUCUGUCAUUGAAGAAAGAAUUAGUCUAAACUUUUACCAUUUUUGCAGAUGUGGUGAGCCACGUCCUCGUGCUAGCGUGAAUUGAGCUGGCAAUGACCAUAGUGCCCCUGCCUCCCUCACCUUAGCCAUCCCCUUCCCUCUAUCCUGCCACACCUAUUGCUGCAUGGUCUUUCGUUGUUGUGCGGCUCCUCUGUGGUACAUCGCAGGGGAGGAUACCACGACUUGGAGGUGCCGGGGGGGAGGAGGAUACCGUGUUGAUGCGCAAAUCUAGGUGUCCACUCCUUCAUUGAAGGAUAUCCAAACACGGCCUAUUCACAGACAUGGCCACUUAACUUUCAGCUUACAUCUCUUGAUGUGUAAUAUGGCUCUGUUUGGCAUGGCUCCAACUCCAGGUUUUGCUGCUCAACUUCGGCUGGAGCUAGCUUUGCUUGGAGUUGGAGUUGGAGUUGUGUGGAUGGGAUGUUUGGUAGAAGGGUACCCAGCUCCAAAAAAAGAGGAUUUUCAUAGUUAAUUGCCAUUUUUGCCCCCUGGCCCCACAUGUCAUCCUCUGUAAUACCAAUUUUUUUCCUUUUUUGUGAGCUUAUAUUCUUCCUUGGGACUGAAUCAGCUCGUCUGCUCGCCCAUGGCCCGCGAGGCCUGGCUCGAUUCACCCUACCCAAGCUAGUAACCAGAUAGAGUCAGCAGCGCACCGGAUGGGGGCUAGCAGUGGCAAACAGUUCUAGGUCGGCAGCAGGCGGAUCACAGGACGUUGCCGAUGCACGGGAUAGAGCUUGCGGCGUGUAGAAUGGGCGCGGCGUAGGAUGGGGCCAGCUGGCGACGUGCAGGAUGGGGUGCGCGGGGUGGGGCCAGCGGCGUGUAGGAUGGGUGGGCGGUGCGCGGGACGGAGCCACCGCACAGGAUGGUAGUGGUGUUGGAUGGGUUUAGCGGCGCGCAUGAUGAGGUUGACAUGUAGGACAAUGGCGGUGCGCAAGGGGAACGAUGGCUCCAGCCCUCACGCGCGAUGGCGGAGGCGCAAGGUGAUGGUGACGGCGCAUAGUUGGAUGGCGGCAGCGGCAAGGAUCAAGGAGCAGCGGCACGUGGGCUGAGGGUUGGGUCCUGGGCUAGGGGCGGCACAUGGGUUGGUAGUCACGAGGGAGAUGAAGGUUGUGGGAACAGAUGAAGCGGGGGGGGGGGGAUAGAACCGAAACAUUUUCUUGUGUAACCGACGGUAGUGGUGGGUAAGUAUCUUGUAACUCCACGUCUAGAUACGUUUCGCAGUGUUUUGGAUCUGUGAAAGUGGUGUUCUACGAAAAUGAACUAGAACUCCAAUAACUCCAUGAAGUUAGACUGCUUCAUUUUUUUUUGGAGUUGGGGUGUUUGGCUGGCUUUAUUUUUUGGAGUUCGGGUAUUGUUUUAUUUACAUGGCUUUCCUAUAUAUCUACCGAAAGAUAAUUACUUAUAUAUCGCCUGAUGUUUGAGACUGGUGCAGUGCAAAUAGACCAUGAAGACUGUGGGGAGCAAGAAAUGCAUGCACUGACUACAUACGUGACCAUGGAGUUGGACAAUGACACGUGUCAUCAACUGAAAUGUUGGACGUGGUGGGACAAGUGGGUGAGAGUGGCUUGUUUGAAUUUCAAUCUUUAAAAGAACUUUAUCUCUUAAAUCACAAGUUAUUUUUAAAUCUAUUUAAUUUGAACUGUGGCAUUUCUUUGAAUCGAUUCAACAAAUAAGGUCCAAUGAAAUAUUUUAAAUGUUUUUUCAAAAAAUCAAAUAUACUAGCUCAUGUUACAUAUACUAAUUUAAUAUUUUGAAUAUACAAUUUCAACAUUGUAAUUAAAUUGAUUCAUGUUUUAUAUAACAUGUAAACAUUUUGAAAUAAAAAAUUUUGAUCUAGUUUUUCCAAAAUGUUGACUUAUGGUUUGAAAAUUGUUGAAUAUAGUUGUUUCAAAUUGUUGAUCUAGUUUUUGAAAAAUGUGAAAUCUAAUGUUUUUGAAAUGUUGAUAUAUGUAUUGCAAAAUGCUGAACAUCAUUUUUUCAAUGUUGAUCUAGGUUUCAAAAAAAAUGUUCAAUCUAGUAUUUAAAAAAUGUUGAUCUAGGUUUUGCAAAAUGUUGAAUAGAGAUUUUUAAAAUGGGGAUGUAUGUCCGGCACAAUGUUGAAAAAAAAACAGAGUUGGAAAUCAAUAUACAUGUGUGAGACCAGAUACACAGGUUAGCUCACACUUGACAAUAGCGCAGGUUUUGUGCAAGGCCAGAUGCUUGAGCACAACACACUUAUUUACCCAAAAGAAGAUUAACAAGUACAAGAAGUAACAGCAGAAGAAAGACCAAAGUAUACCGCAACACCUCAUCAGAUCACAGAUCCUUCACUUUCACUAGAGCAUAAUUCAUUCCUUCGAAAGUCACACCUUCCAGCAGCGUUCAAGUUCUAGAAACUCUUGCAGUUGCAAUAAACCAUCUGCCAACCCGAUUCCAUCUCACCAGAAUAGCAGCUGCGAAUCCGACACCAAAGCCCAACCCGGCGAAGAGAAACAAGACCACAUCAACAUGAUGAAAUGACUUGUCUACCUGUGCAACACCAGGAGUGUAAGGUGAAGCGCCAUAGGGUAACUUUGACAGCGGUGGCCCGCACAGUCCAGCAUUUCCUUCAAAUGAACUGCUGUCAAAUAUAUGUGCAGAACUGACGCGAUUGCGGUAUCUUCCCCACCAAUUUUUUUUGAAACUGUAGACCCGGCUGAGAUUAUCGGACUUGUAUUAAUUAAUAGAGAAGAGAGUCACAGGGCCUAAGCCAAAAAUAAAGGAAAAAAUAUAUAUUGAAAUUACAAAUUGGCGGUGUGAAACGGCGAUCAUUCGUCGAUUUGGCAGAUAGAGCCUAAGUGCCUUGCUCCCACUAAAAUCCAACAUCGCGCCUCCUCCUUGAUUUUGCCGAGUAGUUGGUCGAGGCUUUUGAAUUUUUGUUGAAAAACUCUAGCAUUGCGCUCCUUCCAGAUUUCUCAAGACACCAGAAUGAUCAGUGAUCUGAAACCCUUCAGCGGGGUGCCACUCAUUGACCCUAGUUGUGUCCACCAUUGGCUCACAGAUGAAAUUGUAGUCCAAUCUCCUCUAGGCGGGAUGUGUGCAGCCGUCCACUCAAAUAUUUUGUCCCAGACUCGUAGAGCAGAUGCAAUAAUAUUUCGUCGUGCGAGUGACAAAGCAUGCAUACUUUUUGAUUGGGCCAUCCUUGCGUAAUCAAGCGAUCUUCCAUCCACAGUCUGUUUUGAUAGGCGAGCCAUGAGGAGAAUUUGCACUUCGGUGGUGCCCAUGUUCUCCAGAUUAGGUGCUCCAUGUCCGAGGGUAUUGAAGAUUGGAACCGCACCAUGUAUGCCGAAGUUGUUGUGUAUUCACCGUGCUUGGUCAGAUUCUAGGUGAUGGAGUUUGGUGUUCCCGGGUUGAGCUAGAUUGAUCUUGUUCCGGCUCAAAGGAGAGUCAAUUCUGAGAGAUGUGUCGUUGAUGAUAUGAUGGCCACAUUGAUGUCCUAAAUCCACCUGUCGUUGGUUAUGGCAUCCUGACCGUUCUUCUCUUGUUUUUUGAAAUUUUAUACACCGACGGCGCAAUAUUUCUUAGCGCUUCCCCCUGCAGCCAUACCGAGUCCCAGAAUUUGGCCUUCUCCCCAUCUCCUAACGUGAUGGUCAUUGCAGACGCGAACAACUUUUUAUCCUUGUCGUUGUACGGUGUUGGCAUACCGACCCACGGUUUGCGUGGUUCCUUCCAUUCGUGCCAUAACCAUCAUAGUCUCAAUGCUCGUGUGAACUUCUUUAGAUGCAGUAUUCCUAGGCCACCAAGUUUAGUCAGUUUGCAUGCUGUGUGCCAUGCCACUUUACACUUGCCGCCGACAAUCUGAUCUGCACCAGUCCAGAGGAAACGCUUCCUUCAUUUGUCUAUUUCUUCCAGUAUCGUUGCUGGGGCGUUUAGGGCAGAGAGGUAGUAGAUCGGUUGUGAUGAGAGGACCGCCUUGACUAGUGUUCUUCUUCCCGCUGGGUGAGCAUCUUGCCAGCCCAGUUGGCUAAUCUUGCGUUCUCUUUGUCGGAUAAUGUCUCAAAGUGAGCCUUUUGUAAUCUGCCUAGUGUAGUCCUAGGUAUUUGACUAGGAAGGUUGCUCUUGCUGCUGGGAAGGGGGCUAGAAUCGAAUCCAGCUCGAGUCUAUUGCAACAUAUGGGUGCUACCGAGCUUUUCUGAUUGUUAGUGAUUAGCCCGUUGACUUUGCCAAAUUUGUCUAACAGCUCUUUGGUGUUCCGAACAUUCGCAGUUGUCAGAUUAAUGAAAAUUACCGCAUCGUCCGCGUAUAACGAUAGGCGUAAGCGGGCACCACCGCAUCUCCUCCACCUCAAACCAAACCCUAGCUCCAAGCCGCACACGCUAACAUCGACACCCGAGCCACCGCAACCCUAGCUAGCCACACGCCGUCGUCGAUCCGUGCCGUCGCUGCAUUUCCGUCGCCAAGAAGACCCCCAGGAGCUUUGCCGCAAGGUGAGGAAGCCCCUGGUGUGGCUCUUGUGCGCUCCCAUGCCUCUCUCCACGCGCACGAGCUCGCCGGAGUUCGGCAAGCUCGGUUGGGCCGCCUCAUCGAGCCUCCGGCCGCCACUAGCGCCCAAUCCUCCUCCUCAACACCCUAGAUCAACUCUUCGUGUCUGUAGCUUUCUCCAGGGCCAGAUCCUAUUGAAAAUUGUACCUGGAAACUCAAUUCUGAGCAAAGUCCAGCAUGUCGCCGCCGCGUGCCGCUCGCCUCCGCCGCCCGCGCACCGUCGAUCUCCUCUCGGUAGCUGCUAGCCGUACGAUCUGCUUUCGACAGCUCAGAUCCAAUCUAAUCCGAGUCAAACCAGCCGCGUACCGGUCAAACCCCAUGCUGCGCUGUUCGUUUUUCUAAAGAGUCCCUGGGUUUCGAGGUUUUUGCACCUGAGGUCCAGCGUAGUUCAAAGAUCAUUAGAUCUAGGUCCUUUUUCUUCUGUUCUAGCCCCUGAGCUUUUGCAAAAUAGUGCCCACCAUCCUAGAUCCUCUCUUUUGCGCGUUAAACCUUUGGUUUAUCCGCGUAUUUAUGUUUUAGCCCUCGGUUUCUCCAAGCUUAGCUUCUGAAAGUUUUAAAUCUUUGCCAACAAGCUCAUGCACCUUGUUUAGUGCAUAUCUUUAGCGUUUUAGGUCCGUUUUCAGUGCUUCCUGUGUCUAUGAGUUUGUCUUUACGCAUAGAUUAGUUUUAUGAUCUUAUUUCUCUCUAUUGUUACUGAUUGAUGUAAUGUUUUCUUAUUUUAUUCCUUUGCUUGCUUGUAUGUGAUCGUGUGAUGGGUCAGAAGGACUGCAACUCGAGGGAUUCGGAGGUCAAGACUUUGAAGACUAUGAGCAGCUGGAGCAAAUCCAAGAAGCCAAGUUGUGCCCCUGUUCACAACUAAACCUAUGAAACUUUUUACUUUCCUGUUCAAUAACAUUUAUGCCAUGCACUUUAAGUUACAAACAUAAUGGAUCCUAACUAAGGAGUGACUAGUUUUAUUCCCAGUAUAUUGAUCAACCCGGGCUUACAUAAUGUUGGGUAGUACAUGCUUAGUUUCUCAACUUGGGUAUGGUGGUAUUAGUGAACUUGAUGGUUAAACUUGUUUUAUUUAUGCUGUGCUUUUCAUUAACACAAGAUCACCAUGCUUAAAAUUGGAACAUGGAGAACCACCCGGGAAAACAAUACAACCACAAGAACUAAAUGGAUCUGGUCUUGGCUAAUUAAUUAGAGACUUUAGUCUGGGGUAAUCUUACCGAAAGGGCAAGAGGGGCGGUGGCAGAUGGGGUAUAACCCGGUCCUCUUGUGAAGUGAGCUUUGCUAAGAUACUAUGCCCACUAGGGAGGUUUAUACUCUGCAACUGAUCUGGAAACCUUAGCGGGUUACCGCUUACUAGGGGAUCUUUGUAAAGACCUCGUAGCGUCCCUAUGCAAUCACACCUCGGUAGUGUGGUAUUGUGCCUAGCCCGCACAGCAUGGUUGGGUCUAAAGUUCUUUUGAACUUUUACGCGACUUGUGGGUAAAGAUGUGCAACCUCUGCAGAGUGUAAAACUGAUCGAUCAGCAAUGCUCACGGUCAAGAGCGGCCUGGACCCUCACAUGAUUAAAUUAUCGGAAGUUGAAUUAAAUUAUUGUUAUUUAUUUCUGUUAUCUUUAUUUAUGUUCAUGCUUAAUGUGGGUGGUAUAAACUUACAUUUAGUAAAUGCUAAUAAAACUUGACCAACCAAUUAAAAUGCUGACUUGCUAAUCAACCUUAGCCUAUCCUUGAACAGCCUUACACUACACAUUCCUCACGCUUGCUGAGUACCAACCAUAAGUGUACCCACCCUUGCUAAAACCGCUACUCAAAAUAAGUCAACGAUGUGGAGCUCUUCCAAGAUUGGGAGGAGUACUAGGCGUACGUGUUUCUCCAAUCAUCUGCCUGUGAAGUCGCCGUUUUCGUUGAAGAUCCGCUACGAUAAUAAUAUUCUUUUUGCUAUUCAGUUUAAAAGACUAUCGGUCAUGUAAUAAUUGUAUACUCUCUCUACGUUAUGACAUUGUCUUUGUUACUCACUGAAGUCGUCGCAUGUGUGUAAUUUGAUCCCGGUGCACAUGUAAUUUAUGCAUUAGUUUUGCAUUUAAAAUUGGGUGUGACAGAGAGAUACAUGGCCUUUUAUAUUGCUUCUGGACAUGCUGAGAUAUCUGGUGUCCCUAAGAUAGGAAGCCCAGUUGGGUGGGACGGAAGAGAAUCUGUUGUUGGAAUAUCCCAAGAAAGAAGCUGAUGCGUUUGGCAUUGGGAUCUGCCCUAAAAGCUUAUUGAAACUAAGAUCAAGCACUAGUAGUGAUUUACUAAAAGGGAGAACAUCCGAAGCAAGUUGCAUGCCCGUAAGCACGUUAUGCGAAAGAUUCAAAUAAUAAAGGCUACUACUGCUCCAUGUCUCCCAGAUCCGAUUUGGUAUAUCCCCACUGAUUUUAUUAGAUGAAAGAUCCAAAUAUUGUAUAUUUUUAAGACGCAUCAAAGAUGUUGGGAAUCGAAUUAUAUUGCAAGACGCGAGCCCUAAAUAGUAAAGUCUGGCCAAAUAGGUAGCCAAAGGAUUAUUACCAUCUGCAUCCGUGACAUGCAACUCAUUGUAGGAAAGAUACAAACUGGUGAGAUCACUUAAUCUCCAAAAAUGGGAGAGGUUCACGGAACCUAUCAACUUGUUCGAGCUAACAUCUAUAUGUACCAAACUUGUUAGUUGAAAGAAGGCCAUGGGAAUAAAACCUGACAGAACAUUGUUGCUCAAGCGCACUUUCGCCAACCGUGAUUCUGCCUUGUCAAAGCCAUAUAUGGGGCCAGAAAGUUGGUUGUAAGAAAGAUCCAGGACACUUAAUGCAGGAAGACUGAAUAUAGAUGCUGGAAUCUCUCGUGCAAAGACAAUAGAAAACAUUAAGUUAGAAAGUCUCCUCUUCUAGAAAUAUCUGAAUUCAGAAAAUGAUGGCUCCUAUUUUGUUCAGAACAUGAUAAGUUAUGCCACUGAUACUGUACCAGCGAAAAAGCUCCCAAGCCUAGUUAUUUUAUCCUUAGAAAAUUGCAUGACAUGGACUCUAAAAGCCAACACUUUAUGUGGUUACACUUAAAGAGUGUUUUGUUUCACCACUCAGUCCAACUGCAGAACGUGCGGCUAGCGGCCUUCACGGAGGAGCAAACUGGAGCGCAAGAGGAGAAAAUCACCAGAAUCAAGAGAGCUGGGGUAGCAAAUCGCCCAUUUGUUCCUGUUUUGUUGGCGUGCUGUUUAUGGGUAGUGUUGUUUAUUUUUAGGUGUAUGCAAAAAGUAUUCUUGAUGAAAUAUGUUGCAUCACAUAUUCUAGAAUAAAAAAGUGAAAAUAUUGGUGCUCUGUUGAAUUUCAAUUAUAUUGCUGGAAUUCCUUCCUCCAUUUUUUUCUUUUUCCUUUUCUUCAAUUUUCAAUUAUGUUUGAUGGAAUUUCUUUGAUUCAAAUUCGACUAUAAUUUAUUGAGCUUCAUGCACCAAUCGGUUGCACCUAAAGUCUUAACCCGAUUUGGAAGGACGAUAGUUCUAUUAUACUUCAACAUAAUUAACACUCAAAUUCCAAGGAAAACCACUUCAAAUCCCAACAGCCAAGUGGAGCCACAUGGGUAUAGUGGGGAUUUAGGACCUCAUGUUAUACUUGUGCAUUUAACAAAGGUUAGCAACUCUAUUAUAUUUUAAGAGUUUAGGAAUCUAGAUGACUUCAAGGAAAAAGUUCAGAGAUCGAUAAUCAUUAGGAAUAGCCAGACUUUUGGUCCUACAUCGAUUCUUUUUUUCUUAAGCGGCUGGCACCAUUACACUGCCCGACAUAUAUUGAUAGGGUAGGAGGUCUUACAUCCAUUCCACUUGUACAGCAACUAGUGUAACUCAAGGGCUAAACAAUGUGCUCCAAAAAUGCUUGAACAAGUAAACACAAGCCUGAGCAUAUAUUGGGGCCGUUCGGUUGAGCUGGCUGCUGCUGUUAAGCAGCACAGCUGAUCAGCCGGCCAUGCAGCUGCUACAGCAGCGCAUCAGCUAGGCAGUGGCGCAUCAGCUGGGCAGCAGCGGCUGCAGGCAGCUACUUUUGUACCCAGCGAUCAAGUCAAGUUUUGAAAACAAACAAUGUUGUAAACUCAGUUGGAACUGGAUUAUAUAAAAGGCAAAAUUCAAUGAGCAAACAAAGGUCACUUUAAACAAUCAUUGAAAGAGCAAGUACAAAUAUUUUUUGAUUGAGGCUUCAGAAUAUAAUUGCAACAAAUUACAGUACAGAACCACAUUGAUAAUAUUCAGAUGACUAACCUAUUAAAAUAAGAUCACAAAUGCAUACCAUAUUUCAUGAUAAUGUGACCAGUGAAUCAUUAAUUCAUCUAAAAGACACAUUUUUUUUCAGCUCCUUCAGAAAAAAGAAAUACCGUGACAAGCAUUGCCGUCUCAGCUCCUUGAUUGUCUUUAAAAGUAACGUAGGCAAGCAGACAAACAGAGAAAUAGGCCCAAUAUAUUGACUAAAUAUAUGAUACAAGCACAACCACAUAUCUGCAGACAGUGAUAUGAACCAAAUCACCAGAAGCGCUAUCCAUAACUCUCAAACACCUCAUUUUAGUUUCCAAGACCUGGGCACCCUGAUAACAGUCUAGUCUAGCACAAAAUAAAUGGCAUGCAUAUUGAACUCAAGAGUACACAGGGCAUACAAUUAGAACAUUUUAGCCCUACCCUACAAUAGUUGAUCAGUGCUUUCUCAAGUCACAACAACAACAAAUUAGAAAGAAAUUGAUAGGUUAUAUUCAUAACAACAAAAUAGCAAAUUGAGAAAAUAUCUCCGUCAUGUCAACCCAUAAAGUCCCGCUGCAAUCCAAUCACGAACUUUACUAAUAUCAUCGUUGGCAGUAGCGGCAAACCAAUCUGAUGCAGGAUCAUUUUCAUCACUUGUCCUACUAAGAUAGGUCCCAUGAGCAAACAUGUCAGCACCAACCAUUCCCGGUUCGUUGUUGUCCAAUGCAAAAUUGUGUAGCGCAAAGCAUGCAACAAUAAUCUUUGAUUGCUUCUCCAUAUUAUAUAACGGUAUACCUCUUAGAAUCUGCCACUUAUUCUUUAGCACUCCAAAAGAUCGUUCCACAACAUUCCGAAGGCACGAAUGAUGGUAGUUAAAAAUUUCAUUCAAAUUCUCAGGACCUUUGGCAUUAAACUCCGAUAAAUGGUACCUGCCCUUGCGAUAUGACGCCAUAUAACCCUCACGCAGUGGGUAACCAGAAUCCACCAAAUAGUACUUUCCUACAUAUCAACAUUGUUAUACAAAUAGCAAUUUAGAUUGGCACUCCCAUAUGUUGCAUACUAUAAAACUUACAAACAACAUAAGAUCACCUUGGGGUGGGUGAGGGAAAUGCUCAGCUUGGUUUAAAGCCUCCCUCAAAAUAGCAGUGUCAUGCACAGCACCCUUCUUCCCCGUAGCGACAAAUGUGAACCUCAUGCCCAUGUCACAAACGGCUAAGACAUUCUGGCUGGUGAACCCCUUUCUAUUGAUAAAAUCAUCAUGUGCGUGCUCAGGGACUGACACCGGAAUGUGGGUUCCAUCUAUAGCUCCUAUGCACCCAUCAAAAUAUGGUGAGAAUUGAUGCAGCUUAGGAUGCACAUACCUGAACAGUGGAUCCAUUGGUCUAAUAAUAGUACGUGCAAAAGAGACCACGGCAUCUAACACUUCACCGAACUUCCGACUCACGGUGUCUAGUGACCUACGAAAUCUAUCCGACAUUUGUCUCUGGCAUUGUCUUGUGCCACAUGCCCAUAGGAACAUCCCUAAUGCCUCAACUGAAUCACAUUGUCGUGUGGAUUUUAGCCCAUGGUUGGACACUAAGAUUGAAUGCAACAACUGGAAUGCAGAUGGAUGGAGACGGAAAUUUUUGUAGCACUUCUUACUGUCAGCAAGGUUAAUAGCAACCCAUUGACGCCCAGUCAACUCCUGCAAGUGCAACGGACCAUCUUGCAUGCCACAUGCACUUGAGGUAGACGAUGCAUACGCAGCUAACACACCAAUGGUUGCACCCAUGUACCACCAUGUAGACCCCUCAUCGUUCAACCUUGCUGGUGAGGUGCUGGUGUUGCUCGAAUUUUCGGAGCUUGACUUUCCUUUCAUUUUCAGACCAUAACAGUGAUCAGUGGUCCCAGCUUCUGUAAUCAGCGAUCUGGAACAAAUCUGAUUCUUUGUUAAGCCUAGAUAUGCUAGUUUCAAGACGACAUAUAAAAAGCAUGCCAUGUUUUCUUAUCUAAGAAUCUCUAAAACAAAAUAAUAGCAUAUUCAGUACCCAUCUUUUAACAUGUUGUGCCCCUUUUCUUUUCUUUCAAAAAUCCUAAGUACUUAAAUAUGGAAAUAUGAUUUCAUUGCAUACCUUUACGAUCCAUUUGACCUUCACUUGUUGAUAGCCACCUCAUUCAUCGUGAAGACCUUCAGGCUGUAAGGUUGUAAACAAGAAUUUCCAAAAUGUUAAAAACAACAGUAGCAGCAUCAUACUCAAGUGGAACGACACAAAUUUAUAUGGAUUAGUAGCAUGAAUAAUCAAGGUCUAACACAACAUAAUUCACAUUACAAACAUGAUGCCACACCAUGCCAUAGUCACAGUACAAAUACACACAUUCCUAGGUAGAUGCAAAUACAUUGUAAUCAUGGACCGGUAUUACUUCCUCUUGACAUUAUCCCAAGUCCAUCGGAGCCAUGCAAUCCGGUUCUCUGAAGCGGUAAUGCUCCUAUAAGAUGCACGUCGGGCUGGUGAUCUAAACAGCUCAGUAGCUAUGAAGUACAACUCAGACCCAUUCGGUACACCAUCUUGUUCGACAAGGUGCAGCAUUUCCGUAACCUCCUCUUCCUCACGGCUGAUUAGAUUUCUUUCAUUCAUAGUCCUUUGAAUCAUGCUCUCAGAUAUACGCUCGACAUAGUACUCCAUGCUCUUAGUUCUCUUGGGUGAUGGGCUAUCAACAACAUGCUCCUUUCCGGACCUUUGCGACACACGACCCACACUAGACCGUCCAACAGUGUCCUCCAACCAGUCAACAUUUUCAUCCACCAUUGGGUCAGGGGUGUCUUCACUUCCACAGCUUGGUGUUCUAUCUUCAAUUCCACCAACACACAACAUUGGACCGCCUUCAAUGUCCGUUGUCCCGAAAAGAGUGGUUAACUCAUCAUAGAAUGGAAAUGUCUUGCCACGGAAAUAUUUGUUUGCCUCGUUCUCCUAGAAGUCAUAAAUAGGAAAUAUGUAAGCAUGAGGGCAAUCCGAGGUCAAAGCCGAAGGUAAAUGAUAGAAAGCCAUAAUUAUUAGGACAAAAAGUAGGUAACUCAAUUCGGGCUGCCCACCAUUCAUCAUCGCAAUCAAUGGUGCGGGUACUGUUGUUCCACCCGGUACCACUCUUGUCCUUUAGUUUCCUCCAAUCCUUGUAUUGCCUCUUAAAGGCAUUAAAUUUGUUCUGAAGCUGUUUGCAGGAAUAUUUCCUGCCCAUCUAUUGUUUGAAAUUUGUAUACAGGUUGUGCCAACCUACCUUGGUUAGGCCCCUUUUGUUGUAGUUGAGCUUGUUCUUCUCAUCAAUGCAAAGGUCUAGGAAUAUUUUUGUAGUGUUAUCAUCCCAAUUGGCACGACCUGCAUCCAUCUGUGUGCUACUUUGAAUUAUAUGCCUUCCUAAGUACAAGGUGCUACUUUGAAUUAUAUGCCUUCCUAAGUACGAGGUUUGUAUGCCACACACGCAGUAGCAAUGACAACAUGCAAGAUACGAAUCAACAUUUAUCACAAAGGGAACAAAAAAGAUGGAACUGAUGCUUGCCUCAUUGUGCUUACGUCUUGCAGGAGUUGUACACAGCAGGAACCGAGGGGCUUCAUGUGGAGACCAUGACGAUGUAGAGGAGUUUGCCAGUGCUGCUGCCUGUGGAAGUUUCUUUUUUUGGCACACAAGGAAUGCUCUCCUUAGCUAGAGUCGUAUUUACUACUGUAAAAAGAAUAUAUAAAGUGAGAAAAAUUUAAAAGUCAGCCUAAACAUUGUCAUAUUUUAAUGCAGGAAGUAAAUAGUAAUGAGCAAAAAAAAAGAAGAAUAAUAUUUACUGUCAAAAGGGAGGAGAGAAUUUACAGUCACCUAAUUUUUGCAGGCACUUCCCAAUUCCCACCCACUGAAUGUUACUGAGUGGAUUUAGUGGUUUCUAUCACUAAAACUAGCCACUAACAAGAUGAAAGCAGCAGCAGUGCAGAUGCAAAAUAGCAAUGCCCGUGGUGGUGAUGGCCGCAUUUGUGGCACUCCAGAGUAGCAGCAGUGCAGGUGCACCGUCCAGUUCAGUCAGAUAGAUGAGCGUCAGUUGAUUUCCGAGGGCAAGGCAGAUCAAGCUGGCAAUGCAACAUGCAGGCAGAGGUAGCCAACAAUGCAGCCCUUUCAAUUAGAGGUACUGGUCAGUGCAGCUGACAAAAGCACACCAGUAGUAUGCAAGUUCAGAGGUGGUCACUUGAGUUUCAGAUUUGGAACACUUUUGCCUCUUUCUAAAAAUGAGCAGUAAGUAAAAUUGGUGCAAUGGAUUGUUUGCCUGGCGUCUUACUGCCUAUUCUAGCAUAAUUGACCUGAACGCCCCUAAGGUUGAGCAUAGCUCAUGUUUGUUCUGAAUACAGGGAGUCAAUAAGUCUUAUAUAUUUUGUGUUUGCUAAAUAAAAAUUAUAUUACAAUACUACCAAAUGCAUAUAAAUAGAAAGAUAAUAAAUUAACCAAAUGAUAGAUCGGUCUAGUCCGAAACAUCUGUUGGAAACACGCCGGAGUAACUCCGAAACGUCUGUUGGAAACAUGCCGGAGUAACGACUCCCAGGUCGCCGGCGAGUCUCCUGGCCAAAGCACAGGGACACACACGCACACACAGGUAGACACUGAAUUGGUGCUUGCUAACUUGGCCCUCUUCCUUGGCCUUUAUGCCUUGUAUUUAUAGACUAUUACAAGGAAAGUAAUCAGGGCUUCAAUCAGCCCGAUGCACACAGCCACACAAUUGCUAACUGUCUAUUUGCCAGGGCUGUCAUGGAACAUUACAUUUCUGUAGAUGAUCAACAACCAUUACCAUGAGUUACCAUUACAACAAUAUGCUCCUGUCGUCCAACAUACACAAGAUGCACUUACAGUACAGAGCAGAAUAAUGGGAAGCCUUCACACUUCACACUAGUGUAGCUAACAAAAUUGAAGGCACAUGAGAUCUUACUGCCUACUCUACCAAAAUUGACUCAAUUACGCACGAUAUAAGAGGUUACUGCCUAAUGUAAGGCAAAAGAGAUCUUACCCCCAGGUUCUCUGUUGAGAUGCACAAAAUCUAGCAGCAUACAAAUGUAGAUCGAGAAUGGAGAGGAUUGGCGGAGCUGGGUGGACCGGCGAUGGUGGGACGGAGCGGCGGGGCGGAGGUCGGCGGGGGCGUGGCUGGCCGGCGCCGGGUGAGGGGCGGAGCUGGAUCGGGCGCGGACGGUGGGGCGGAGAGGAGGGGCAGAGAGGAGGGGCCGCGACGGCGGGGCGGAGGCCGGCGGGGGCGGGGCUGGCCGGCGGCAGGGGAGGGGCGGAUGUAGGUGGGGCGUCGACGGCGGGGCGAAGAGGGGCGGCGACGAUGGGGCGGAGUCUGGCGGGGGUGGAGCUNNNNNNNNNNNNNNNNNNNNNNNNNNNNNNNNNNNNNNNNNNNNNNNNNNNNNNNNNNNNNNNNNNNNNNNNNNNNNNNNNNNNNNNNNNNNNNNNNNNNCGGCAGGAGGCCCGAAAUUCAAUCUUCCCAUCGGAAUCUGGGAAAUGUAAGGCCGCGGAAAUGGGCCAGAGUCUGGCGGGGGUGGAUCUGUUUUGCGGCGGGGGAGGAUUGGAGCUGGGUGGGGCUUCGAUGGUGGGGCCGUGCCGGCGGGGGCGGGGGCGGCCGGAGGCGGACUGGGCGGCGGGCGCUGUUCGGGAGAUGCAGGACCUGGACAGGGAUUAAGUGCAGCUGUUCGGCUGCCUUGCUGGGCUGUUGCUGUUGGGCCGCAGCCGAACGGCUAGGCUGCACAGCAACAGCUGCAGCCGCCCAAGUAGCUUAAGCGAACGGGCCCAAAAAAAGACACGGGAGACAAUAUUCACUAGUAGAGAAUUCACCUUCUAUACGUCCCAUUUUGUCCCGGUUUAAAGUUGGCCCGGGACAAAAGGUUCACCAACCGGGACUAAAGCUCGAUCACUGGUGGGGGGCUCACCAACCAGGACCUUUUAUCCCAGUUGGAAAGGCUAGUGGAAAAAAAAACCCUGAGAGGCCUUUUAUCCCGGUUUGAAACAUCAACCGGGAUAAAAGGGUCCCCACGAGUUAAUACAAAAAGAUUGCAUCCCCUAUAUAGUCAGAUGUGCUGUGUAGGUGGGAUGGCAAGGAAGCUACGCGCGAGGGUGGAGGUUGCGGGUUCGAAUCCCACGCAGUGCGCACGCGCAUAUUUUGCGUGAAAAAUCGCGUGACUUGUGACUUGCGACGUGUGGGGGGCCCUCCCGGGAUUUCUUUUUUCUUUUUUGCAGCGGGGAUAAAAGGGGACCCGGGACAAAAGACCCCCCCCCUGUCUCGGUUGGUUUAUCUCCGGAUGGAUUUUCGGAAGAUUUGCAUCCUAGCAACCGGGACUAAAGGCCAAUUCUCUACCGGUGAUUAUUGUUACCUUGGAGAGAAUUAAAUGAAAGUUCCAGCAAUGUUAACCUAGUCAGAUUAGCUAUUGAACUUGGUAUGCUUCCAUAAAAAUUGCAACCUUGAAGAACUAACCAUUCCAACUCACUAAGCUGGCCGAUUGCAUAAGGUAUCAACGACCCAAAAUUCUGAUGGCCUAUUGGGCAAGGUGUCGGAGACAGAGAAUUAUAACCAAGAAUACGCAUGGAUUUCAAAUUAGUGAGGUUACCAAUUGCAUCCGGUAUUGGUCCUGAGAACCCACAAUUAUUUAUAUACAUGUUUCUCAAAUUUGUGAGUCCGCCAAUUGCAGCCGGCAUAGGCCCUGAAAACCAACAAUCAAUUAUCCACAUGAUUUUCAAUUUUUUUAGUUUGCUGAUUGCGGUCGGCAUUGGCCCUGAAAACCCAGAAUCAAUUAUACCCAUUUUCCUCAAAUUUGUGAGGUUGCCGAUAGAAGAUGGCAUGGAACCAUAUGUUGUGCAGCGAUCCAUUUCCAGUGUUUGCAAGUCCACGAGAUUCCCAAUUGCACAAAAUACUUCCCUAGGGAGGUUACAAUCAACCAUUUCCAAGCUUCUCAAGUUCUUGAAGUUGCUAACCAAGGUAGGCGUUAUCUCAGAGAAGUUACAUCCAUAGAGUGCCAAAUUCAAACUCAUUAGGUUCUUUUGCUGUCCAAUCCAUGAGAUAAUUGAUCCUAACUCAUUGAGUCCAGCGUGAGGUCCAACUGGCACAGGGACCUAAGUCUACCAAAUGAAGAGAGAAAAUCCACCGAUAAAUUCCCUCCGAGACUCAAAUGCUUCAAGGACUUGAAAUUAUUAGAAGGCAUUGAUCUGGCAUAAGAAAAGUUGGUCCAGUCUAGCCUCAAAGUCUCUAAAGAAUUUGGAUAAGAAAAGUUUGGCAAAUGCCCUCCGGAUUAUUGGACAAAUCGACAACUCUUAAUUUUUUUUUAUUGGAAGGGUUUGAUGGGGAACCGCCCCUCAAGAUAAAUACUAGAAAGUUGAAGCACAGUUAAAUUGAUAAAAUCCAUGAAGAUUUCUGGAAAUGGACCGGCAGUUAUAUCACCAUUUCUUUGGAGGUUGAUCACAACGAGAGAACGGAACCGCGAGAGAGACUCAUGAAUAGGACCACUCAGGCUGCAAGUGGCCAAGCUGAGUAUCUGAUGUCGAGGAACAUGUGUAGCAAGAGAUGUGCACCACUCUUCUCCACUGGUAGACAAAUCCACACUGUCAAGAUAGAGCUCUCUUAGAUUACUGAGGUUUGCCACUAGGGCAUCAAAAUCGGGUCCCCACAGAGAGUUAGAAGUGACAAUAUAGUAGGAGCUGUCGGAUGUGUCAUAAGCAUCAUCAUCAUCAUCUUCAAAGGACUGGAAAGAUCCAACGACACAAGGUUCACGAGUUUACCGAUGCCAAUAGGUAUCUUGCCACACAAGCCCAAAUUGGAGAGGUUAAGGUGAGUUUGUUGGAAAAAUAACGUGGUGGUCAAAAGACCGAGAGGAAAAUGGGAAGGAUAAGAUUGACGCCCGACUCCGACUCCCUCGCGCACGUCCACCCCGCGCCUCGAUCGGAGGUGCAACCGAACAAUUGGUUGCGGCCCCGAGCGACCCGGCCCCGAGCGACCCAACUCUAUAAGAGAAGGGGGCCGGUGGGUUUGGAACAUGCCAACGCACCAAACCCUACUCACACCCCCUACAUGCCUCCCGAUCACAGUGGCGUUGGAGUUGCUCGAAGGCCGUCGCCACACCACCAUUGCCGUCUGUGGACAGAAGAGGUGGAGACCUGAAGGGAGACGCAAUCUACUCCGAGCUAGUACACCUAUGGCACCCGUCAUCCCGGCCUCGUCCACGACCCUAAUGGCCGGAUCGUCACAAGCAGUGGCAGCUGGUUGUACUCUAACAUCUUCAUUGAGUGGUGUUCAUGUUCUAGAUGUGCAAAGAUCCUGUUUUAGUUAAGAUUAAGUAAUGUAGAUUCUUACAUUUGGUAUCAGUUAGUCAAUCCCAUCUAGACUUGGAUCCUAAGGCUGUGUAGAUUGAAUCUUAGUGUGCAAUUGAGUUGAAUUGUACUGGUUUUCUAUGUUCUUGAUCUACACAGUAGCUUUCUAGUACGAAUUGCUAUGCUAUUAGGCUUAAUCUUCUUCAGCUACAUGUCAAUGUUCAAGUUUUAGUUCACUGACUUGAUCUGUUAAGUCAGAUUAGACCAAAUUAGUUCUCAGUUAGCCUAAUUCCAUGCCUAAGCUACUAGAUCAGUUCUUAAUUAAGUCUAAAAUCAAGGUUAAUUAAGUCAAUUAAGUUAGUCUCUAUGUUUAAGUUCAGUUAUUUAGGUCGAGGUCUACUGUUUUCCCCAAACCCCACUGUCUAGCUCCAAUCUGUGCAAUUAAGUCCUCAAUCAGUAAAAUUGGACACGCAAAAGCAUGUAGAAGGAGAGGAAUUGGGCGAAUUUCAGGUCGAAUUAAGGAAAACCCAAAGAAAAUCCCCAUCAGAAAUCCUAACCCUAACUCAAGGAUAAGAACUUACCUCGAAUCACGACGGCCGCAUAGGGCAUGAUGGCCGCUGCGUGUGGAUGCCGGCGUGCACCUCCGCUGAGCCACACCGGCCAUAAGCACGCACAUGAACAAGUCAAGCCGCGGGCCCGGAUGCGCCUCGGUCUCCUUCCCGUGACCCAACCCGCGGCAUCAGAUCCUCCACGCACGAACCUGUCGACGCCGCGGCAAGCUUCAGGUUAGCUCGCCAUCACCGGUCUUGCGGCCGACCGCGCCUUCUGCUCAGUCACCCCCUACCAUGGAAAAGUGCUCCAGUGGAGCCCCCUGACGGCGCGCCGCGCGACUUGGUCGCAUGCACGCGCCGGUGGGAGGGCCCGCAGAGGCAUGGGCGCAGGGUGGCGGCGCAGCUCAUCGGCGGCUGCUGCUCGGGGUUGGGGCAGAAGCAGGCAGAGAAGAGGGGAGGGUUGCAGUGGAGACAGGCAAAAAUGGCCUAGGGUUCGGGAGAGGCGCAGCGCUCGCCGGUUUUGUCCCACCGAAACUCGCGCUCCGCCGUCGGAUGCAACGGAUGGCUUAGAAGAGCGCGGACAAGCGCAGCGCGCUGUUGGGCCAGAUUGGCGGCCCACCCAUUGGCUGCUGGGCUUAGAGUCUAGGCCGGCGCGAGGAACCCGGCAUGGGCUGUUAGCUGGGCUUACUCGGACCAUGAGAAGGCGCGGGCCCACUUAAACUCUGUGUGGCACGUGCUCUUUAGGGCCAUGAGGAAGGAACGCCGUGCGCCAUCGUUCUUGCACGAUUGGGCUGCCUGCGAGCAGGGCUUGCGAAGGUCGUUAGCUAGGCGCGGACUGGUUGUUUUGCGCUGGGCCGAUUUCGGCCACUAGCGGGCUGCUGCUUUUUUGGCUCGCACGGGCCGUCAGAUCGCUGGCAGGCCAGCGGGCCAUUUUGCGCUUGCAUCAGUUGGGCCGUCAGUUGAUAAGUGCGCACUUGGGCUAUUUCGGGCCAAUAAGGGGAGGUAGCUACGGGCCAAAAGUUGAGUUUGCGCUGGUUUUAAGAUUGAGCACGGUCCACUGUUUCUCCCAUUUGUUAUGCUAAUAAGUGUCUAAGUUGCACAUAGUUAAAUAAAAUAAUAUUCUGAUUAAAUUGAACCAACACGAAAUUUAUUUCACAAUUAUUUAUUAAGGCAUGCAAUUAAUUUCUGACCAAUGUUGAUAUUAAUUUGAUAUGCAUAAGUGUUUUAUUUAAGUUUUAAGUUAUUUUGCUUCCGCCCAACAGUGAUGCGAAAUUAAUUCAUGUUAUUUUAUUUAAGUUUUAAGUAUUUUGCUUCUUCCCAACGGUGAUGCAAAAUUAUUUCAUAUCAUUUUAAUUAUGUCUUUGCUUCUACCGAAUGGUGAUGCAAAGUUGUUUAUGUUUUUAAUCGAGCCAACGCAGAUUAAAUUUAUUACUUAUUAUUGUUAUCAUUACUAAUUGAAAUUCUCUCAUUUACUCAGACUUGACUCCAUCAAGCAUCAUAAGCUAUGUCAACAGUACAGAGAAGCUUGGAGGAGACAACUUCACUAAUUGGAAGAACCAGAUUGGAUUGGUCCUAUGCAUUAUGGAUCGGGACCACUUCAUGAGGGAGAAUCAUCCUGUUGCUCCGACUGCUCAAGGGGAUAAUGAUAGUACCCUUCCUGAGCGCACUGCUGCCUAUGAGAAGGAAAAAGAGCGGUAGGAGCGAUCAAACAGGGUGGCCCUAAUGAUCAUGGAGCGGACCAUAAACCUUGCAAUAAGGGAAGCUAUUGAGAAAAAUCCCAAAAGUGUCAAACAUUUUAUGGAGAAGGUUGAGGAGUACUUCAAAAGCUUCAGUAAGGCUAAUGCUAGCACCCUCCUGACUAAGUUAAUGAACACUAAGUAUGAUGGGCAAGGCAAUGAAAGGGAGCACAUCAUGAGCCCCGUUGACCUAAGGGAUAUGCUCAACGACUUGAAUUGCCCUCUUAAUGAUGAGACACUGCUUCACCACAUCAUGCUUUCGCUGCCCUCAGUGUUUGAACCCUUUAAGAUAAACUAUAAUGGCAGCAACAUGAAGUGGGAUAUUCCCACACUCAUCAUGAAGUGUUCUCGGGAGGAAGAAAGGCUCAGAUCAGAGAAAGGCAAUUUUGCCAACCUCAUCAGGCAUGAGGUAAAUAAGGGAAAAAAAUAAGCAAAUUGUCCCUUUUAAGAAAAUUAAGAAGCCUCAUCAACCUUCUCGUAAGAAUGAUGGGUCAUCCUCGUCUAAGGGUCCAAAAUGCCAUCAAUGCGUGGCCUAUGGGCACAUCAAGAAGCACUGUGAAAAGUUAAAGGAAUGGUGCAUAAAAAAUGGUAAUGAUGACUUUAUUUCUACAGUCGAUGAGUCCCUUUAUGUUGAUUUUUCAUUAAGUACAUGGUGGAUUGAUUCUAGGGCAACCAUUCAUAUUACUGAUUCCUCACGGGGAUUACAUGGCGCACAGACUAUAAGAAAGGGGACUCGCGCCGUUAAAGUUGCCAAUGGAGUUGAAGCUGAAGUUGAGGCUGUUGGAGAUCUCACUUUAGAACUUAGUAGUAUCUUUAGGCUUCAUUUAAGUAAUGUUCUUUAUGUACCAUCACUUAAGAGAAACUUGAUUUCUAUUUCAUCAUUAGAUUGUGAAGGUUAUUCCUGCAACUUUGGGAACAACAAGUAUGUAAUAAGUUUUGACAAUAAGAUUAUUGGUCAUGCCCCUUUACAUGAUAAGCUUUACUUGUUGCCUCUAAGUAUUAAUUCCUCUGUGACGAAUGUAAGCGAUGCCAACCAUAAGCGAAAGAGAAACAUUGAGACUUCGUCAAAAUUGUGGCACUUCCGCUUAGGCCACAUCACAUUUCGAAGGGGAGAAUGGAGCGUCUCAUUAGAGAAGAGAUACUUCCAAAAUUAGAUUUCUCUGACUUAGAUCAAUGCGUUGACUGUAUUAAGGGAAAAUUUGCAAAACAAAUUAAAAAGGAUGGAGCUAAGCAGAGUUCAGGAUUAUUAGAAAUAAUUCAUACUGAUAUAUGUGGUCCAUUUAAUGUAAGAUCAGUGGAUGGUUAUAAUUAUUUAAUUACCUUCACUGAUAAUUUCUCCCGCUAUGAAUACAUCUAUCCCAUACUCGAAAAGUCUGAAGCACUUGAUAAGUUUAAAAUCUUUAAAGCUGAAGUAGAAAAUCAGCAUGACUAAAAGAUCAAAGUGGUAAGAUCAGAUAGGGAAGGGGAGUAUUAUGGGAAACACUCCACAUAUGGACAAAUUUUGGGACCCUUUGUCAGAUUUCUCCGAGGUAAUGGUAUAGCAGCUCAGUAUUCCAUUCCUGGUGAGCCUCAGCAAAAUGGUGUUGCUGAGAGAAGAAAUCGCACCGUUAUGAACAUGGUGCAUAUUAUGCUAUGUAACUCUACGCUGCCAGUGAGUUUGUGCAUGCAAGCUUUAAAGACUGCCGCACACAUUAAUAAUUGUGUUCCUAGUAAGUCAGUCCCUAAGACUCCUUAUGAGCUUUGGACUAGUAGGAAGCCUAUAUGAAUUAUUUACAUGUAUGGGGCUGCGCAGCUGAAGUAAAGAUUUUUAAUCCACAACUUGGGAAAUUAGAUCCAAGACUGAAAGCUGUUAUUUUAUUAGAUAUCCAGAAAAGUCAAAGGGGUACCUCUUUUAUUGUCCUAAGCAUACCACUAAGUUUGUGGAGACAAGGCAUGUUGUUUUCUUAGAGGAAACUGGAUGCACUGAGGCUAGGAAAAUUGAUCUUGAGGAGAUUCGAACUUAUGAGCCGUUACCCAUAAGAUAGGAUUAUCAUACUCCUAUGCCAUAUACCACAGUUACAUCUCAGGUGGUGGAACUUCUAGUAGAAAAUGUGGGAGUAACAUCUACCUUAAGUGAUAAUGUAGAUGCACCUUUGAUAAGUGAGCAUCAAGGUGAGGAUGUGGUAGAACCUGCUGGUGGAUUGCAAGGGGAGGCAACUGAUGAGCCCGAGGUGAUUCAGCAGGAACCUGCUCAAGUAGAAGCACCACAGGAAGUAACACCACAACAUCUGAGAAGGUCAACAUGUGAGAGGAAGUACACCCGUUUCGAUGAGUAUGUGUACAUAAGUGAAGAAGGGCACAACAUGGGGAAGGUGGAUGGUCCAAACUCAUUUAAGGAGGCUAUAAUUAGUGAACACUUGCAUAAGUGGAGCGAGGACAUGGAAGAAGAGUUGAAGUCCAUGGAAGCAAAUAGAGUAUGGGACUUAGUAGAAAUUCCUGAAGGAGCCAAAACAAUAGGCUGUAAAUGGGUCUACAAAAUGAAAUAUGACUCUAAAGGGAAGAUCAAAAGGUUCAAAGCAAGACUCGUGGCUAAGGGCUUCACUCAAGUAGAAGGAGUCGAUUAUAAUAAAACCUUAUCGGCUAUCUCAAAGAAAGAUUCAUUUAGAAUCGUUAUGUCUUUAGUAGCUCAUUAUGAUCUUGAGCUACAUCAAAUCGAUGUUAAGAGUGCGUUCCCUAAUGGUGACUUGCAUGAGAAUGUAUACAUGAAGCAACCUGAAGGUUUUGUCGUGGAAGGCAAGGAAUAUUUGGGAUGCAAACUAUGAAAAUCCAUUUAUGGAUUGAAACAAGCAUGCAAAAAAUGGUACCUUAAGUUUGAUGAAGUAAUUAAGAGAAUUGGCUUCAUUGAAAAUAAGAAAGACAACUGCAUAUAUGUUAAGACUAAGGGGAGCUCUAUAAUCAUCCUAGUGCUUUAUGUGGAUGACAUCCUAUUAGCAAGCAGCGAUAAGAACUUGCUGCAUGAGACAAAGGGCUUUCUCUCAUUGAACUUUGAUAUGAAGCACCUUGGUGAUGCCGCUUAUGUCUUAGGCAUUGAGAUUCACUGAGAUAGGUCCAAGGGUGUAUUAGGACUCUCUCAAAGAGCUUACAUAGAGAAGGUCCUUGAAAGAUAUAAUAUGCACCAAUGUUUAGGCACAACUGCUCCAAUUGUCAAGGGCGAUAAGUUUGGGUCAUUCCGAAGUCCUAGGAAUCAAUUAGAAAUUGAUCAAACAAGAACGAUUCCUUAUGGUUCAGAUGUCGGAAAUAUAAUGUAUGCACAAGUGUGUACACGCCCUAACUUGGCCUUUAUAAGCAGGAUGCUUUGAAGCUAUCAGUCUAAUCCAGGAAUAGGCCAUUGGGAAGGAGUUAAGAAAGCUUUGCGUUACAUGCAAGCACUAAGAAUUACAUGCUAACGUAUAGGAGAACUGAGAAAUUAGAGAUAAUCAGCUAUUUCAGAUACUGAUUUUGAGGGUUGUGUUGGCACAAAGAGAUCCACAUCAGGUUAUGUCUUCACACUUGCAAAUGGCGUUAUAUCGUGGAAAAGCUCCAAACAAACAUUAACAGCUGCAUCGAUGAUGCAAGCUGAGUUUGUGGCAUGUUAUGAAGCUAUGGGACAAGCUGUAUGGCUUAAGAGUUUCAUCCUAGAAUUAAGAGUGGUAGACAGCAUAAGUAGGCCACUAAAAUUAUACUGCAAUAAUAAGUCAGUAGUUUUCUAUUCGAAUAACAACAAGUCAAGUGAUGCUGCAAAGCACAUUGAGAUUAAGUAUCUUGAUGUGAAAGAUAGAAUCCAAGAUCACACCAUUGAGUUAGAGCAUAUAAGUACUAAGAAGAUGCUUGUGGAUCCAUUAACAAAAGGCUUAUCUCCCAUUAUAUUCAGUGAACAUGUUGCCAGCAUGGGAUUAUCGGAUAGCUUGUGAUCUUGGAGGGUCAUAAGACAACUGCCUCCCAUCAUGAUAGGUAGUUUUAUACAUUGUGGACAACUGUGUCAUAGUGGGAUUUUAAUCAUCAUUGUCACACAUUAUCUCCCUGCAUAAUGCUGCUUUAAGAAUGGCAUAAAUUAUAGGCCUUUAGACCAAAGGGGAGAACGUUGGAAAAAUAACGUGGUGGUCAAAAGGCUGAGACGAAAACGGGAAGGAUAAGAUUGACGCCUCCCGAUCACGGUGGCAUUGGAGUUGGCCAAAGGCCGUCGCCGCACCACCAUCACUAUCCAUGGACAGACGAGGUGGAGACCUAAAGGGAGAUGCGAUCUACUCCGAGCUAGUACACCUACAACAUCUGUCAUCCCGGCCUCGUCCACAACCCUAAUGGCCGGAUCUUCACAAGCCGUGGCAGCUGGUUGUACUCUAACAUCUUCAUUGAGUGGUGUUCACAUUCUAGAUGUGCAAAGAUCCUGUUUUAGUUAAGAUUAAGUAAUGUAGAUUCCUACAGAGUUAACGAAGCCAACCUCUCGAUUCCAGUAGUAGGGAUGUUUUCUUAUGGCAUAUCUUGUGCCCCACUAACAUCACUCAUGCUAAGGUCAAGGCUAUUAGGCAAUGUAUAGCCGUAUAUAGCUGAUUUAUAGCUUUCCAUGUAUACUGAUUGUAUUCCUUGUAUACCAAACCAUAUUGGCUAUAUAAUAGAGGUCACCCCCCUCAUUAGGGUUCGUGGUGUUUUCCCAAACUCUAUCUAUCUACAUGGUAUCACAAGACCAGGAUCAAUCUGACAGGGACUUUCCUUCCGCUCCACCUCUCCCUGACGCGCCUAACCCUAGGUGCAGCUCCUGUGCGGUGGCGCUUCUCCCCUAGGCUGGCGCCCCUCCCCACCUCCCUUCCUCCCAUGGCCAAUGAUUCCUCUAUCGAGUCCUCCCUGUCCGGUGGUGGCCUUCUGUCCACUGGUGGCCCCAGGCCGGUGCCUGGCGAUGGCUCCCUGCCCAUCUCCGGUGACACCCCCCCCACUGGACUUGAACCACUGGGCGGCUAUGGCACCCUCCUUGGCACCGACGAUGGCCCUGCGUUGCCCCUUGGUGGCGGUCUUCUCCUCCACCAGGCGCCGUCGGCCAUCAUCCACCUGUGGCGGAACCGCCCAGAUUUACUUAGCUAAAGCACCAUUAAGUCACCUGACAUGCGAUCUUAUGCUUUAACCAAGAUAACUCGGCAGUCCGUUUAAUUUCGUCCGAUAAACCACUACACAGGACCGAGAAGCAGAGCUCACACGAAGGUGAGUGGUUCCAGAGAUUUCAAUAGAUCACCCAACUUAAACAAGUACCUUAAUUUUACAAACUCGGGUUCGAAAUUCCACAAAGUUUUACGGAGUUCUCAAGCAGCGGGAAAAUAUAAACCAACGGAAGCUAGCGUCAGGGGUCGGAUGUCACGAUGAGGCCGACCAUGACAUCAAUGGUCCCUAUCCUCACCGUCCGAGAAGGGAUCCCACUCGAUCGUCCACUCAGGAGGAAGCUGGGGAGGCCAAGUGCCAACAGCAGCAAACUCAGGAGCUUCAACAUCACCUGAAAAGAUUGUCACAACAAGGCUGAGCGACUACGCUCAACAAGACUUAACCGACCGUUGGGAACUACUCCACCAACUUCUAGACAUGCACGGCUCUUUGGCUGAGGGGUUGGUUUUGCCAACGCGACUAUAGUAGGUCCUUACUUUCAAGAUUUUAGACACAGGUUCUACUGUUGUUUAUCAUUCUAAGUUAGUAGCUAUACUAAUCAGGCAAAAGUUUCCAAGCAAUUUAUGACAAGCAUACAGGUUAACAUCACCAUCAAGUUCCAUUCUUACUUAGUGUAGCAUAGUGAUCAAGCAGUCCCAAACUGUGAGAGGCAGACGAAUUGAUUCGAAUAUCUUAACCAUGCAUGGUGAACCUAAUCUCACGAUAUCCGCACACCACAAAGGGUCGCUUCCUCUGUCGGUCGCACCCAUCAAUCCCUUGACCCGUGUCGAGCCCACUUCUCUUGGUACAAGGCUCCACAGACCCGGCCUCUGCCGUUCUGUGACCGCACUUGUCACCACAUGCGGCCGGAAGGGAAACUCUAUUCCAGAGACAGUGGAUCGAACCGCUCAUGUCCUGGUUCAAUCAGGUACUAGGCUUCCCCAUCCCAUACUAGAUAUGAGAUUAGUACUUUCAAACACUUGAUCGCGAACACCAUCACCUUUCGACCUUAAACCAAUUUCAUGUAGACAGACGGGGCAAUCCACCAACCACCAAAAUAGUUCACAGAGCCCUGCCCCCUCCAUCGUCCUUAUAGUUGUAACAAAAAGGAGAGCAAGCAACUCCUAUAACUCGCGAGUGACAGGGAAUCACUCGACUUUUACCGAGUCAUGUUAAGCAUUGCAACUACUCGGCCUAUCAUACUAGUGUUCAUAUCAAAGGGAACUAAGUCAUGCAUCUAUGGUUUCAAACAACUCCUGAAACGUAAAUGCACUUACAUACAACAGAAGGCAUGCGCAAGUUUAGAAAGACUGGGUGAUGCUCGGGGGCUUGCCUUCAAGUGGGGCGGAAGCAAACUAAUCUUCAACACUCUCGGGCUCAGCUCCUGCAGGCAGCUUAGCUACAACUUCAUCUUCGGGCACCGGGUGCAGCUCGUACGUGCCGUCGGCGAGGUUCAGCUCUACACGGAAUGCAAUGCAAGGGUGAGACACAGACGGUGAUUUCAACAACACUUGCAAAGAUUUAGCCCAAAAACUGUAGCAAAACUACAGGAAAAGUGUGAAACCCACGUCAUUGGAUUUUACUCAGAAAGAGGAUUCCAACCCAAGUGAUCUCACAUUUUUCUGAUUGUUCCCCGAUUUAAGAUGGAAUUUCCAAGCCUCUGCCGAUUUAGAACAAGAUAAAAGAGUCGGGUCAGGAAAAACUUGCAAUCUGACCCUUAGACCUAAGGAAUAACUGUACCGGGAUCCUUAGAUUUAACACAGAGAAGUCCUCAAAAUUUUACACAGAUGCCCUUGGUCAAAAGAAAAAGACAUAGCCGAGCCCUCGGGCGAGGCAGACAGGGGUCGGGCGAGACGGACAGGGGUUGGCAGCUCACCUUUGGUCCUACUGAUGAAGUCUUAGGGUUGGCAAGAAGCAAGCUCAGGCGGAACGACAAAAGGCGUUAAGUUUCGGGCGGCGGCGACGUCUGGCGGUGCUCCGGCAGUGGUGGUGCUUCUUGCGGACAACAAGCAAGUUUUAGCGCUGCACGAAGGAAAGCGAAGCGGUUGGCGGGGUCGGCAAGGCAGGGUGUUGGACGGAAGGGGGAGCUCCACAGAGAGCUCAGGCGGCGGUGCGUGAGCACGAAACAGAGGAGUGUGUGGUGGAGAGUGCGCUAGAGGAGAAACCAAGCAAGCAGUGCGGCAAGGGCAAUGGUGGCGAAGAGAACUCCCGUAAGAGGCUCUGGUACCCAUUUUAUAGCUGUGCGGAAGUGAACGAGAUCGAGCAGUGUGAGGAUAAGAUCGAGGGAGAAGAGGAGUGCUCUACCGUGGCGGCGAUUGGUCGGUGUCUCCAUUGGCCGGAGAAGCGGAGCUCCAGGGAUAGGAUCCUAUGGCAUUGGGCAAGGAAGACAGUGCUAGGCAAGCGCGGUUUUGCUGAGCAGAAGGAUUGGUGAGGUCGAGCGCGUGCUUGGUCGCGUGAAGCGCCGGAUUGGGUGCGGCGACUCGGUAUUGGCGGACAGGAGAGAGCGAGGUGCACUUCAGGCAAGGGCGCCGUAGGCGAGGUGACAGGGCGAGCGAUGCGAUGCGAGCAUGCGUGGAUUAGCGACUCUGCCGGGGCACACUACUGGCGAGGCGGGGGAAAGGAGUUGUCACUGCCUGCGCGGCGAUUGGCGAAGACGGCAGCGUCGCGGGGCGCACGUGGGCAGCGCGAUUGAGGUUGACGGGAGGGCCGGAAGGUGUUGGGGCGCGCGGCUGGGGGUCCAGGUGAGGCGAUGCGCACGGGAGGCGAGGCGGUACUGGCGCGGCAGCGGCCAAUCUUUGGUCACAGCGGCGGGUAGUGUGCCUGGCGCGACUGGCGAGGUCUCAGGCGAGACGAGACGGGGCGGAGAGGUCUGCAGGGUGCUUCUGCGCGCGAUUGGGAAGGAGGUGCUGAUCCAUCUUGUCGCGGCCGGCGACUGGGUGAGGCGGCGCUUGCCGGUGAGGUCACGCCAUGCGGCGGCAGUGCUCCGAAACAGGGCGCACGCGCGCUCUGGCGCUCUUUGUCCGAUGGAUCCGCGGGAUUCCUUGCCGGGCCCAUCUUCCAGCCUCUUGAUCUUCCGAUUUCCAAACUGCACCACAUUGACUCCCUUCACAAGGGUUGUAGAACACAGGCUAAGGUCCAACUUUUGUAAUUGGACUGAGUUAAAAAACGCGGUGGAUUUGGAGAUCCAAAGCUCCAAAGUUUGGAGGAACAUUGGUUUCAGGACUUAGAGAAAAGCGGCGGUUUGGCUGGUUUUCAAGGGUCAGGACUGAUUUGAGCUGCAGAUUUGGGAAUCUUCUGAGGCGAAUUGGACCAAUGUCCAAUUAACAAAGUUGUGGUAGGAACUUUGUUCUCCAACUUCUAUAAAGGGUUUUCUUGAUGUUCAGUUCAACUUUCCAAAGAUAAACCUUCCUUAAGGCGCUAGGUCAGGCUGAUUUUCCAGACUUAGCCAGAAUGGCUGAAGGAAGUCUGAGUUGACCAGACUAGGGGGCUUGUCUUAAGAUUAAACUCGGCUGAUUUAAAUCUAGGUCGUUACACCACCCCUACGCCACGAUCUCCGUCAAGGCUCACAUCCCCAUGAUGUUGACGAUGAAGACCUCCAGCUACUCCAAGUGGGUUUCCUUCUUCAAAUCCAUGUGUGGCAAGUUCGGCCUCAAGUCGCACAUCGACAGCACCGUGACGCCCCGUCCUGAUGACCCCGAUUGGGAUCAAGCGGAUUGCUGCGUCCUCUUCUGGAUCUUUGGCUCUAUCGUGGACCUCGCCAUGGAGGAUGAUGAGCAGACCGCCAGGGCCCUCUGGCUCACCAUUUAAGGCCUCUUCCAUGCCAACAAGCAAUCCCGGGCGAUCUUCCUCAGCUACGACUUCCACUCCAUGACCCAGGAGGACUCCUCCAUCUCGUAGUACUGCCAGCGCAUGAAGAACCUCGCUGACACCCUCCGUGACAUUGGGCAUCCCAUUCAAAACUCCCAGUUGGUCCUGAAUCUUCUCCACGGCCUCAACCCGCACUACUCCAACACCACCGACGACAUCGGCAACUCCCCCGCCGGCUUCCAGUCCUUUGCCCAGGCUCGUGACAUGCUCACCUUGAAGGAGCUUCGCCUCGUCAACUUGCUGCUCUACGUCGAUGACAUCAUCCUCACCGCCUCAUGUUCGACGCUCCUCCACCACAUCAUGGCUAGUUUUCAGUCCGAGUUCGCCAUGACGGAUCUUGGUGAUCUUCAUCACUUUCUUGGCAUCUCCGUGACGCGCUCCCCUGAUGGCUUGUUCCUGUCCUAAUGACAGUACACCCUGGACCUCCUCCAGCAUGCCAGCAUGGCUGAGUGUCACUCUACGACGAGUCCUGCUGACACUCAUGCCAAGCUCUCGGCGACCGACGGCAACAAGCUCAAGGAUGGCUCUAAGAAACCGCUGGAAGUUAAAUUCAACAAAAGUUCAAUUCGAGAAAAGUUCAAUUCAAGAAAAGUUAAAUUGUAUCACCUCCCCAGGACUUUGUUCUUUUGUUUUUGGUUCCCAAAGCACAAUUUCAUUAUCAGCACUCUGCAAAUCCAAGCUAGCAUAGAUCAGAUUCCUCAUUAUACAGGAACCAAAACUGGCACUGGGAAAAAAAAGGUUGAAAGACUGAACCCAUGCACAGUACAAGAAUACAGGAUCCAGAUACAGUGGUAUUUUGAAGCAUCAAAAGAAUGACGACUGUACUACUACUAUAGCAGCAAUUUGUAUCCAUUUAAGGGAAGGAAUUUCACCUCUGACAGGAUGAAGUCACCAAGCCAUCUUGUACAAUCAACAUAGUUAGAGUGUACUGCAGCAAUCAACACCUGCAAGGAAAGAAACAGGUUGGUUUGAUGGCAUGAGGAUUAAACACCAACAGUAGUUUGCAAAGGAAUAGAUCUAAGAUGAUUAUAGAUGCUAAACAUACCGGAAACUGGACAUAUUUUGUUGGAAACUUUGAUGGAAGGUCAGUCCAGGAAUAUGAUUUGUCAACAUAUUGCCAAAAUUCUGUGACAACAUUGGGAAACUCUAUCAAUGAUAUGCAGCAUGCAAAUGUAAACAUGAUGCUACUUUGAAGUAGUUUUCCAACCUUUCAUUGACCAGAUUUUCACAGUGUUGUCCAUGCCACAACUUGCAAAACGCUCAAUAUCACUAGGGUGGAAGUCCUUCAGCCAAAAUAAUGUAUUUUGGUCAGUACAUUUAUGCCUAACGUAAUGGAAGUACAAAAGCCGUAGUAGUCACCAGGACUAUAUUUAUCCCUGAUGUAAUGCUCAAUAACAAAUAGUAACAUCAGAAGCUGAAAGAGUGGUAGCUUCAGGGCACUUUGAGCAAGUAAUAUUCUGAAACAAUACCAUAAGAGGAGGCAGGAGCUACUUACAACACUCAACACUUCAUUGCGAUGACCUCAAGCUCCAGCAAAUACCAAGAUGCAGAUCCCUGUAUGGACAUUCCAUAGCCUAACAGAUUCAUCCUAUUCAAUAAUGAAUAAUGCCAUAUGAAACAGUGUCAGAACAAUUAUAACAAAGUACAUUCAGCCUAAGAACAGGUUAUCUGCUAACCUUGCUUGCAGAAAUGAUGAGCGAAGGCUUCAACGCUUGAGUCCUUAUCUCAUUUAUUGAGUCACCAUGGCCAGCAAAGCUCUGUAGAAUUCCAUAAACAGAAAUAACAAAUAAACACGUGCACAGUCUAAUUCAUAGGAUAGGAUAGUAUUUAUUGGCAUGCCCUGUCUCGUGACUAUAUGUAUAACGCCAAAAUAGAUACACUAGGUUGAACGUGUCUUGACUAUAACGGACAUGCUGAAGUAUCCAAAAACCAGAAUCUUCUGUGAGCAAAAGUUACAGUUUGCUAGUGGUAUUAAUGCAUAGCAAACAGACAAUUCCUUAAUCAAACCAAAUUCAAAUGACCUUCUGGAUCGGAUAUCAUAGAUGGUAUCUGUCAGGUAAGCAACUGAUGUACAGAUUUGUGCAAAUGAAGCUUCAUUCAAGUUUGACGUAGUAACAAAGACAAGGCUAGGGGUACUAUACCUUAGCUAACUUCUCCGUAGCACAGUUGAUGACCCGAAUGAUCCCAUUGCCUCCUGCUGCUCAAUGACUCCAUUCUUGGUGACCAGUGUGGCAUCCAAUGUAUCAAUCAGCUCUUCCUUCUUCUUGAGCAAGGCGUUCUUCUCCUCUAUCACCCUGUCCCUAGCCUUCAGUGCCUCCUCCAUCCGAACAACUCUCACCUCCAGCGUGACAAUCCUCAGCGAGUCCCUCUUGUCGUAGGUGUCCGGUGCAGUGUCCACCUCGUGCUACAGGCGACGGUUCAUCCGGUCCAGGUCAGUCAAAUAGUGCUCAAGUCCCAUUAUCUUGCCCUCAAGUAUGGCGUUGGUACCGAUGCAGUUGUCCCAACCAUUGUGAAGUACCUCCACCUCUCUGUCAUUCCAGAACAGCGCCAAGUCCUGAGCGUGAAUACAGCGGGAGGCCACGCAAAACUUCUCGUUGGGCUCUGCAUAUGCGUCCUCGUAGUACUGAUGGACUAAACUCUCGAAAUCCCUCAGCCCACGGCAAGCCCUGGUUAGGCAACGGUAGGGAGUCUGAGCCAACCUGUCACGGAGCUGCGCAUGCACCUCACACACAGCCCUUCUGGCGGCAGUCCGGUGAGCCGUUGACACUGACAGCUCAAACCCAAGUAGAAGAAUAAGCAAAGUCUAGUCAGAAAUAGCGGUAGUCAACAGAACUGUCCAUAACCAGUGGACACGGAUUAUAGCUACAGCUUUAUACACUCUGCAGAGGAUGUACAACUAUACCCACACGGAUGGAGUCUAAACGGUGGCGAUCCGUCGAAACCCCACCUAACAGCCGGAGCCCUAGUAGGUGGAUAGCUCUGUCAUAUUUCCUCGAGUCUGGAAUCAUCCUUAGCUGCAGGGCACGCCGUCACCAGUGAGCACCUCGAAGCUAUGAAACCUACCCAUGCCGGGGUGUAGUCUGGUCAAAGCAAGCCAACGCCUUGAACUCAUUACAUGAUCCUCCAAUCUGCCUAGAGGCUGAGCACUAUCCACCACUAGUCUCGAACCGAACUCUGCCCAUAACGUAAGCGAGCGGUAUCUACGUAAAAUAGUUGCUGUGACUAGUGGUAAACUGACUCAGUGCUUAAGCGGCUGAGAGCGAGCACUCUACUCCACAAGUAUGUGCCGAAACACAUGCAACAUAUAAGUACGCUACCUGCUCCUCAGUAACAAACAAGGUACCCACCACAGGUACGGGGUAUAGAGAGAGUCCAGAAUGCUCUCUCCUAGCAAGGCACUCCUUAGUACCAACCAUGGCGCUCCCGCCAAAACAUAUCAAGGAGUCACACUCACCCAAAACUCAAGCGAGAGUGUUCAAUGAAUCCUAUCACCGAAACUGUGGCAUAUGCCCAUCCAUAACUCAAAAGCAUGUAUAUGGAUAUAUGAGCGGUGGACUAGCUAGGGGUCUGUAGCUAGUCCACAAAAGUAGGUAACAAGGAAAACAGAAUACAAAAUUAUCAAGGCAUGGCUAAAAAUAUUGGCUAUGCAAUCCAACAUCAUCAAGCAUCAUAAAUAAAGCACCAGCAACUAAGCAUGCAUAUGAUCUAUGUGAUUGGGAGUGGCAUGACACCUUGUCCGUAGUUGUUUGGAUCUUCCUCGGCAUAGUCGGAGUCUUGAGGGUCUUCUGGGUCGUAGCUCGAGUCUGAACAGACCAAGAUAUGACAUAAAGUAAAUUAAAUGGCAUUACAACUAGGAAGAAACUCCAAGAAAGCCAAAUUUAGUAGAUCCAAAUAACACCAAACUAGUUACAAACAACACGGGCUCCAUUUUACGAAUUUAAUGCAACUGGUUCCAUAUUUUUCGCAGUUAAAAUGAAUUAGUUAUGAAUUUUUUAAGAUUAAAGGAUUCAUUUAAUUAUUUAAAUAAUUUUAGAAAAUAUUUAUUAUUACAGUGACAUGUGCCAGCGCUUGGUUGUGCCAUGUGGGAGCAUAAGAGUGCGCCACGUGUCUCCUAACGCCAAGCUAACGUCAGCGUUGACCGGUCAACAGGGCCCCACCAGUGGGCCCGAGCCUCGGACAUGUCAACGCCUCGUGGCUCCACGUGGCAGCCACGUGGCACUGCCACAUGGCGCACACGUGGUCGUCCCCAGCUGGCCGGGAUCCGCGCGCCACCCGCGUGUGGCCAUGGGUGUGGUGCAGGCCUGAUUGGCUGCGACACAGCGGUGACUGUGCCCACGACGUCAUGGUGUGGCGCGACGUCACGGCGCGGCUGCUGCACGUGUGCGCGGGCAGGAGGUAGUCCCGGCCGCGGCACGACCGCGGCGGCGUGCGGGGUCCCGGGCCCGCGGUGGCUGGCAGCGAGGCGAGCGGCGGCACUACAACCGUGGCUCGAAGGCUGGGCAUACGACAAGCAAACAAGAGGAAAGAGAGGGGCAACGAGGUUCACUGCAGGGAGACGGUGAAAUUGGGCGGCGUCGGGCGGUGGUCGACAGCUCAGGCUCCUCCCUCAGACGGCCCCUCUUCUUCUUCUUCUCUUCUACUUCCCCUCCUUCUCUUUCCUCCUCAUCUCCUACUCCUCCCUCCUCCUCUACUCCUUCCCCCUUCUCUCACUCGGGUGGUCGAUGGCGCAAGGGCGAAGCCCCGAGUGGAUGGCGAAGAGAGGCCCCGAGCGGCUCUACUUAUAGCGGAGAGGCGGCUGUGUUCCAGAGGGAGGUUGCGGCAGCACUUUAGGGUUUGGGGGCGUGGCGUCGGUGAUGUGGAUGGCUAGGAUGUGGUGUUGCAUGGUGCGGGUGACGUGGCGGCCAUCCGAGGCUCCCAGCACAAAAGCAAGGGUGCGGGCGAGGUCAUGGGUGCGCACGCGAGGCGCGCGUGAGCGGUACGGCCGGAGGAAGAAGGAAGAGGAACAGGGGCACCUCACAGGUGGGUCCGGUGCAGCAGCAAGAGAGAAAGAGAGGGAGAGCGGGGCGCGGGUGGCGACUGCGGGCUGGGCCAGCUGGCCGGUUAUGAGGCCUGCUGGGCUGGUCACUGAGCUGCGCGGGCGAGGCAGCUGAGCGGCGCGGGCGAGGUGGCUGAGCAGGCCAGGCCGGCUGUCUGGCUAGGCCGGGGUGAAGGUAGGUGAGGGUGAGGCGCGAGCGGGCCAGGCCGGUGGGCUGCGGCUAGCCUGGUUGGUUAGGAGGGUUAGAUAGGUUUUGUUUUUAUUUAGAUUUAGAUUUAGUUGGAGUGUUGAAUCAAAUUCAAAAUUCAAACACACACUCAAACAUGAGAUCCAAAUAAAAUCUAAAAAGAUCCAAAUCAUUCCACACAAGUUUUGAAAUGGAAUUUUGGGACGAGAAGAGAAUUUGACUACCAUUUUCAAACAAGCACACAAUUCAAACAAAAGUUUUAAAUUUUUGGAAAUUUUACUUAAAUAAAUAUUACAAAAUUCUGGAAUAUUACAAACAUAACCACUUCACCUCGUACCCCGAGAAAAGCGAUACGAAGCUUAACACUCCUCGACAUCUGGGAAAUUUGGUCAGAACGAAACUCUAGAUUUUUCGGACUGUGUGAGUCAUCCUUGAUUUCCUUGGUGGCAAAAAUUAAAAAGGAAGCUUAAGUUUUGUAGGUCUUUUGGAUUAAACCAACUUGGUAAGCUAUCACCCCAAAAGCCAUGGACAUUCAAUUCUCUCAUGAGGGCACAAGCCAUCGAUCACUUCAUUCUCACGUGGUGUCGGCUCGAAAACUCUGGGAUUAGUUCGCCAGUUCAGCUCUAUUUCCUUGAGGUAUUUCUUGUCAACGAGUCUAGCCUCAGCAGCCUGUUCCUUGCUCCUCACAGUAUGAAUAGAAUUAAUGCAUAGCAUUCCGCUAAGCUGAUUCAUGCCCUUCAGCUCACCAAUUGCCCCCCUCCGUGCUUCGACUGUGAAAUAUCUCAAGUUCCUUUAAUAAGUCAAUAGAGGCUUUUACUGGAAGUGCUAGUUGACGCAAGUUGAUUAGCUUUGUUACAUCCUGACGAAUUGUUCUCAGACAUGAACCAAAUGCAACAACAACUUGUAGGCUGUUAAGGCACCAGAAUUUCGAUGGCACUUCAUUUAUAUUGCUGUAGGAUAUAUCAAGAUAUCGGAGGCUAUUCAACCCACAUAUGCUUUGGGGUAGACUUUUCAGCUUGCAACCUUUUAGGCUCAAAAACAGGAUGUUAGAAAGCUGACUGAACCAGGUGAUCUCAACAUCCAAUUCGGUACCAAACCUAAGUGAACGCAGUUUGUUCAAAUUUUGAAUGUUUGUCAUUGUGCCCAAGGACUUACGUACCAUCCACCUCGAUUGACAUGUGGCGAGGUUUAUUUGUCAUUCCGCUCAAAUCUUUCAUCGAGAAACAUUCAUGGAUAGAAACAUACUGCGCAGUAUCAUGGAUCAGGUCAUGCAUUACGUAUUUAUCUUGAUUAGGGAACUUUGGAUCAGUUUGGAAAAGACACCUGCCUCUCAAAUCAUCCAAAUACUUCAUCCCGACAUCUUCAAGACGCUUGCUCACUUGUGGUGAAACAAAGCCCUCUGCCACCCAAAUGUCAACGAUCUCAUGUCUUUUGAAGCUAUAAUCUUUCGGAAAUAUGGAGCAAAAUGCAAAGCAUCUCCUAAGUUCAGUUGGGAGGUACAAGUAGCUCAGUCGAAGUGCUGGUAAUAUGUCGCUAUGUUUUUGUUCUUGCUCCCAUAAUUCACUGUCCUUGAUAGUCCUCCAAUGUUGCUCAGUCAGAUUACUAUUCAACAAGCGUCCGAGAGUUUUGGCAGCCAAAGGAGUACCAUGCAACUUAGAGGAAAUGCUCUGACCAAUCUCUUGUAAGCGAGGAUAUGACUCUGGGCACUCUUUACCAAACGCACAUUUCUUGAAAAAUUCCCAAAAUACACCAGCGGGCAAUCCUUCGAGCUGGAGAGGCUUACAACUGCAUUUGGACCAUGCGGUGACAUUCUGAGCAAUGUUUUUGUGUCUUGUAGUCACUAAGAUCAUGCUACCUUCAAGUCCAUUCUUCAACGGUGCAUAAAAAGACUCCCAUUGUGGUAAUUUCCCAAAUAUCAUCCAGCACCAAAAGGAACUUUUGGAUCUUCAGCAUGUGCCACAGAUCUGCUUCAAGAACACCCAAACCACAAGACAAGUCGAAGUUUGGCUGGAUGAUGAUCUCCUUUUUCAUCCUUUCAAUGUCAAACAGGUCCGAAACACAGACCCGUAUCCUUACAGUAAAGUGGCCUUCACUCUUUCAUCACUGUCGAUGAGCUGAGCCAGGGUGGUCUUCCCCAUCCCGCCAAUGCCAAAAAUUGGCAAGACAGAAACAUUGCCACAGUUAGCAGUCUCAGCAAGCCCUGCACUGCUGUUACUGUCAAAGUUAAGUCGCUUGGCUUUGGAUGUAGAUGCGAUGGCGUCAUGACUUGCUGCUUCUGUGCCUUUUCCUUUAGACCCUGCAGAUGUACUGCCCAUAGUGAGUGGCAUGCCCAUUUGUGAGAUCACCUGAUUAAUUUCGGCAGCACGAUCAAUCGUCAGAGUCACACCCAGCAUCUCCAUCACUUGAUCCCUUUCCGUGUCACGCGGUGAUGAGUUCAUUCGUUGUUGGCAUGCAUGACCUGCACUGGCUGAACACGAUCAAGACCAAUCAAGCAUAGCACUUCUUUAACUUCAGCCAUAACCUUGUGGAGCUGAUCUUUGGUGUCCCUUAUCCUUUUUACUGCUAGCAUGGACGAGAUGUUUGGCAAUAUUCAGAGAGGAUGAUGACACGAGUUGACCUGCCCUGCUCCGGCUGGCGUCCUCAAUCUUGUGCCGCAGCGCCUGGUCCUCGAACUCUCGGUGGAGGUCCUCGGCGUCGUAGGUGGUGUACUUGUGCUGCAAGAGAUGGGCCUCCACCAUGCCCCACUCGCUGCGACUGAUGAGCAGCUUGGUCUUGAGUUGGUCCAGCUCGUUUUCCAGCUGGGUCGGCGCUUGGCUCAUGCUCAUCCCGAAUGACAGGAUGCCUUGCACGGUGUCCAUGGUCGCGCGCGCUCCUAGAUCUUGGUGCGUUGGUGGAGCUGCUCGUGAAGUCGUGAUGAUGGUGCUCCUCCUCCUCUUCCUCCUGCUUGGCACAGGGGCAGAAGGGAGCGAUUACCUGAUGAUGGUGCCACCGAUUACUGGCCUUCGCCCUCCCAACACCGGACUGGUGAUUUUCACCGGAGGGAUCGUAAGAGAGAUCGGGCAGAGAGGUGUAGGAUCAAAUUGCGUGUGCACCCAACGUGGAAUGGCGCUGGAUAUAUCUAGCUACAUGGUUGCAUGCCCUGCCGAUCUGGGCAAUCGGUAUUGCAUUUGCAGAUUUGCUUCGGUUUCAUCGAUGAUCCCUCCGGCGUUGGUUUCUUCGAUCGGUCCUGUCUUGGGUUCCAUCGAACUUGAUCGAGCUGUCUUGAGGCCGGCGGAGUAACUAAGAGAUCCAUUAUUCAUCGGGAUAAGCUAGGAUCGCAGGGGCUCGUUGCGGCUGCGGGCGUGGACCACCAUCUCUUCCUGCCUGCCGCCGGCGGCCGGCGAGUGCAAGACUGGUAGGUUUAGGAGAGGAAAGGCCAAAAGGCGUGAGCUGUGAAGGAAUGGACCUGGCAACCGGGUGCGGCUUGUGUUGUAUCUUGGGCCGGUUGGGCCGAGUGCAAGUUCCGGGGCCUCCUCGGUGGUGGUUUUGUUGGCUGCAAACUGAUGAGGCCUCGUGCCUUGGCUGCGAAGAAGACGGCUACUCAAAAGCAUUUCUCCCCCAGCAGCUUGAAACGGUCGCCCGCGGACAGCAAGCAAGCGUUCGCGAGCCUGACCGUGCACUGUACAGCACAGGACAGGGAUCCAUGCUUUCCGGCAACACCCAUCGGCGCCAGGCUUACCCACCAGUACACCUGGCACCUGCUGGCUGUCCAGCUCCAAACCUCUCCAUCACAAGACAGAGGUCGUCAAUGGCUUCUUCGGUUUGCAACAGCACAGUGGACAAGAAAAGCAGGGGCAAAGCUACAUUGGGCUAGCCGAGUGAUUAGUAACUAAUUUUUACCACUUGUGCACUCCCUAACCUCCAAUUUCGUGCACCACUGUCUGGCCCACCAACAACCUGCAGCCCAGCAGUUAGCAUAGGCCAGCUUUCAGCAACCCAUCAAGCCCACGAUGCACUAUAGGUGCAUGCAGCUGCGGGCCUGCCGCAUCCGCCCGCGUGCGUUGCACGUGACAAGUCCUCACGGAGAACACGAAACAAUCGUCCGCGAAGCCCGCUCGCUCGCCCAAACGUGAGAACUCAUCGUAGAAAGGCGGCGGAAGAGAGGGAGGCGGCACUCGCGCGUCGCCGUGUCGCACCAUCUCCAGUCGCUGCGGUACGUCUCCUCGCCGGAAUCAGCACCCCCAACCUUAAGCGAUCAUCAUCAACUCCUAUUUUUUUGUUUCUCUCCAUUGUUGCACUGCACAUUCUUCUAGCCUCCCCUUUUGCUCAAGCCCACUCCACUCGAAUGGUACACAAUUAUUUUUCUCACAUGUGCUUUUGUGCCAAUCAGCUUCUUUGAAGUAAUCCGUUAGUGUUUCAAUUUCAUGGUUACUUAUUCUCCUAUAUUCAAUUGAAUUGUAGGGUUAGGGUUUGCAAUUGGGGUUUUACUUCUACAAAUUGCAAUGAAAGGGCAAAGGAGAAGGAACUUAGGAAGGAUUCAUUGAGAUUUGAGACUCAAGAAAUAAACAAAAAUCAUGUCAAGUAAGUUUAUGGGUGUUUGGUCAAUUAAUCAUUUAUUUUUCUUCCCUUGAUUCUUGAACAGAUGAACAUGAGAAGCAUUAAUGUAACUGACAUUUUAAAAAAAUGUGUUAUAUGUGUGUUUAUGGAAAGAUGGUUAAAAAGAAAAGCGCCAGAUGAUGCUAACAAUUUUUGGUAAUUCUCAUCAGCAAAACAACAAUAUUAAUGUUAAUCCAAUACCACCAGCUCCAGAAGAUAUCGAUUGGGAGGAGGAGAUCCAACUUCAUCCUGGUAAAAGAGAAGAAAUACGUUCUUGUCACCCUAAUCUUAGAGAAUCGGUAAGAAGAAUGUACUUGGCAAAUGAGCCUUGUCAGCUCGCACUCUUAAUUUUUCAUCUACUCGGAUUGGGGAUAAAAAUUGAAGGUUUAAUCUUGAAUGGUUUGAUGAAUUUGGAAACUGGCUUGAGUACAGUGAGUCUACCGAUAGAGCCUACUGUUUUACCUGUUUCUUGUUUAGAGACCCCACUAAGAAGGAGGCUGGGUACAAGUCAUUUAUUUUAGAUGGUUGGAAUAAUUGGUAUAAUAAAGAAAGAUUAAAGGAGCAUGUUGGCAGUGUUGACAGCUAUCACAAUGUAGCAACGAAAAAAAUGUGAUGAUAUGUUGAAAAGAGAAUAGCACAUUGAUGUUAAGUUACAUGAACAGCUUGAGAGUUCUAAGAAUGCAUAUUUUGUUCGACUUAAUGAUGCAAUUGAUACUAUCAGAUUGCUACUCAAGCAAGGACUACCUUUCCGGGGGCAUGAUGAAUCAAAGACAUCCUUAAACAAAGGGAACUACAGGGAAGUUUAUGAUUGCUUAGCUCAACAUGAUGCAGCUUUAGCCAAGGCAUUGACAAUUGAUGCUGCAUAUAAUAGUAUUUUGGUAUCUGCUGACAUACGGAAAGACAUCAUCAACUGUUUUGCAGAUGAUAUUUUACAUUCUAUCCUUGGAGACAUUGGGAAAGAUGUAUUUUGCUUGCUAGUUGAUGAGUCUAGAGAUGUCUCUUUCAAAGAGCAAUUGGCAGUGGUGUUAAGAUAUGUUGAUAAAUGUGGAUUUGUGAACGAGAGCUUUGUUGGUGCUAGCAAUACGCAAGGUGAGUUCAAUGGCUUAAAAUCUUUGAUCAUGAGAGAAAAUAGUAGUGCAUAUUAUCUCCGUUGCUUUGCCCAUUAACUUCAAUUAGUGGUUGUAGCUGUUGCUAGAAAGCAUACAGGCAUUGCUGAAUUUUUUAACAAUAUCUCUAUCUUAUUGAAUGUGGUUGGUGGAUCUUCAAAGAGAAGGGACAUGAUUUGAGAUAUCAAUCUCAAAGAAGUUAGUAAGGCCUUAGGCUGUGGGUUACUUAGUAUCGGGACAGGAUUGAAUCAAGAACAAUGUCUUCAAAGACCUAGAGUCUCACUAUAAAUCUCUUAGAAGUUUAGUUAAAUUCCAAAUAAUUAUCAAAGUGCUUGAAUUUGUGGAAAAGGAAGGCAGGGAGGGAAAGGCAAGGGUGUUCUUAGAAAAGUACACUCAUGAACGGGAUGAAUGAUACACGAGUUCAGCGUCACCUAGUCAAGCCGGAUUCCAGAUUCCAUCGUACUGACACUUGCUGCGCUGCUUUGCUAUCUAUUAAUUCUCCUCAAUCUAUAGUAACAGAUAACAACUCUGUCCGCAGCAUGAUAUGGAAAUUUUCUCACACUGGCGGGUACACGAUGGCUUCAGCCUAUAGAGUGCAAUUCAUUAACUUCACCAAAAAAACACAAAUCUGCGCAAUCUGGACUUCUUGCCCCUCUCCUAAAUGCAAAUUCUUCGUGUGAUUAAUCCUUCAUAACCAUGCUUGGACUUUGGAUCGGCUUGCUCAAAGAGGAUGGCCUCAUAGCCCAGCUUGCCCCCUCUAUAAACAGAUAAUGGAAUUCUCUCUUCACCUGCUGGCCAAGUGCAGAUUCACUAGGAAAAUUUGGAGUCCUCGUGGCUAUUUAGACAAAGCAGCCAGUACUACACCCACUGGAAUGGGAACAAAGCUACAAUACCUUGGAAUGGUGGACCAACAUUGAAAUGGACCUGAAUUUUCAUUUCUGAGAAUUCAAGCCUACGCACCUCCGUGAUAGUUCUAGGAGGCUAUCACGUGCGAAUCCAUGUCUCAGAUAGUACAAAUUCAUACCAACAUAGAAAUAUAAAGCAACAACAUAGUACCAUAUCAUAAAUAUCAUAAGUAACAAGUACAUCUCUUCGGUACAUGCCAGAACAUGUCCAUCAGGAUUGAAUCAGAAAGGUAAAAUAUCUAUGCAGCGAAAGCGUAAGCUACGGCGAACUCCAUCUCCAGAGGCGACUCGAGCGAAGGACCAUCCCUAGUCUUCCUAUCCAUCAUUGUCGAAGUCGUAGUCGGGCUCCGACCCUAAAAAGCCACCAUCUACUCGAGAAGCGGGUAGGCCAUGUCAACUCCCAAAAGGAGCAAGCUAAGGAAAUGGGGGAAUUAUACUAUAUGCAUGAGUAAAACCUAUAUAUGGUUGUAGAGGUGUAUGCAACAGCAGCAUCAAUCAAGGAAGCAGCAAAGCAUUACCAUCUUCGAGGUCAACACCUCAAAUAAGGAAGUUGGCACAAAUCACCAGAUCCUUCGCCCAUGGGUCCAGCAUCCAACACACUAGUCGAUGUGAGAGCUCCCUUCCCUCACAUCUCAAUGGCAAACUCCAGCCUAUCUCAAAAAGGGGAGGUAGAAGAAUAAGCAAAGUCUAGUCAGAGGUAGCGGUAGUCAAUAGCACUGUCCAUAACUAGUGGAUAUGGACUUUAGCUAUAGCUUUAUACACUCUGCAGAGGUUGUACAACUGUACCUGCAUGGAUGGAGCUUGAACGGUAGUGAUCCGUCCAAACCCCACCUAACAGCCGGAGCUCUAGUAGGUGGAUAGCUCUCUCUUGUUUCCUCAAGUCUGGAACCUUCCUCAGCUGCAGGGCAUGCCGUCACCAGUGAGGACCUCGAAGCUGUGAAAUCUACCCACGCCGGGGUGCAGUCUGGUCAGAGCAGGCCAACACCUCGAACUCCUUACACGAUCCUCCAAUCCGCCUACAGGCUAAGCACUAUCCACCAAUAGUCUCAGACCGAACCUCGCCCAUAACGUAAGUGAGCGGUAUGUACGUAAAAUAGCAGUUGUGGCUGGUGGUAAAUGACUCGAUCCUUAAGCGGCUGAGAGCGAGCACUCUACUCCACAAGUAUGUGCUGAAGCACCUGCAACGUACAAGUAUGCCACCUGCUCCUCAGUAACAAACAAGGUACCCGCCACAAGUAUGGGGUAGAGAGAGAGUCCAUAAUGCUCUCUCUCGGCAAGGCACUCCUCAGUACCAACCAUGGCUCGCUCCUACCAAAAUACAUCAAGGAGUCACACUUACCCAAAACUCACAUGAGAGUGUUUAAGAAAUCCUAUCACCAAAACCAUGGCACGCCCAUCCAUAACUCAAAAGCAUGUAUAUGGAUAUAUGAGCGGUGGACUAGCUAGGGGUCUGUAGCUAGUCCACAAAAGUAGGUAAGAAGGAAAACAUGAUAAAAAAUUAUCAAGGCAUGGCUAAAAACAUUAGCUAUACAAUCCAACAUCAUUAAGCAUCAUAAAUAAAGCGCUAACAACUAAGCAUGCACAGGAUCUAUAUGAUUGGAAGUGAUAUAAAGCACUAGCAACUAUACAUUGGCUUGCCCGUAGUCGUUUGGAUCUUCCUCAACGUAGUCGGAGUCUUGAGGGUCUUUCGGGUCGUAGCUCGGGUCUGAACAGAACGAGAUACGAUGUAAAGUAAAUUAAACGGCAUUACAUCUAGGCAAAAAUUCCAAGAAUGCUAAAUUUAGAAGAUCCAAAUAAUACCAAACUAGUUACAAACAACACGGGCUUGAUUUUAUGAAUUUAAUGCAAAUGGUUUCAUAUUUUUCAGAGUAAAAAUGAAUUAGUUAUGAAUUCUUAAAUAUUAAAGGAUUUAUUUAAUCGUUUAAAUAAUUUCAGAAAAAAAUUAUUAUUAUGGUGACACGUGUCAGUGCCUGGUUUUGCCACAUGGCAGCACGAGAGUGUGCCACAUGUCUGCUAAUGUCAGACCGGUAACGGUCAACGUUGACCCGGUCAGUCAACGAUGACCUGGUCAACGUUGACUGUCAACUGGGUCCCACCGAUCAGCAGUGGCCCCACAGGUCAGUGGGCCCUGCCAAUGGGCCACCAGUGGGCUUGGGCCUCGGACACGUCAUCGCCUCGUGACUCCACGUGGCAGCCACGUGGCCAUCUAGUCGACAUGGCACUGCCACGUGGCCGUCCCCAGCUGGUCAGGAUCCGGUGUGUCAACUGGAUCCUGUGUGCCACCCGCAUGUGGCCACGGGUGUGGCGUAGGCCUGAUUUGUGGCGACGUGGCGUGGCGGGGCGUGGCGGUGACUGCGCCUAUGACGUCGUGGUGCAGCGCGCCAGCUGUGCGUGCGCAUGGGCAUGGGGCAGUCCCCGACCACGGCACGACCGCGGUGACAUGCAGGGUCCCGGUGUCCUAGGCCCACAGUGGCUAGCGGCGAGGUGAGCAGUGGCGCUCCUAUGGCGGCUCGAAGGUCAUAUGACAAGGAAACAAGAGGAAAGAGAGGGGUAGCGAGGCUCACUGCGGGGAGAUGGCGAAGGCGGGCACUGUCGGGCGGCGGUCGACAGCUCUGGCUCCUCCCUCAGAUGGCCCCUCUUCUUCUUCUUCUCCUCUACUUCACCUCCUUCUUCCCUUUCCUCCUCUUCUCCUCCUCCUCCCUCCUCUUCUGCUCCUUCCCCCUUCUCUCACUCGGGUGGCUGGCGGCGCAAGGGUGAAGCCCUGGGUGGAUGGCAACAAGAGGCCCCGGGUGCCUCUACUUAUAGCGGAGAGGCGGCUAGGGUUCCGAAGGGAGGGUGCGGCGGCGCGCUUGGGUUUGGGGGCGUGGCGCUGGCGACGUGGACAGCCGGGAUGCGGCAGCGCACGGUACGGGUGGUGUGGCGGCCAUUCGAGGUCGCUAGCGCAAAAGCAAGGGCGCGGGCGAGGUCACGGGUGCGCGCUCCCAUGUGGGAGUGUGUGCCAGCACGGACGGGGAGGCGCGCGUGAGCGGUACGGCUGGAGGAAGAAGGAAGAGGAACAAGGGCACCUGAUGGGCGGGUCCAGCGCGGCGGCGAGAGAGAAAGAGAGGGAGAGCGGGGCGCGGGCAGCAAUGUGCGGGCUGGGCCAGCUGGCCGGUUAGGAGGCCUGCUGGGCUGAUCACCAGGCUGCGCAGGCGAGGCGGCGGAGCAGGCCAGGCUGGCUGGGUCGGGGCGAAGGCGGGUGAGGGUGAGGCGUGAGAGGAUCACGCCGGUUGGCUGCGGCCAGCCUGGUUGGGUAGAGGGUUAGACGAGAUCCAAAUAAAAUCUAAAAAGAUCCAAAUCAUUCCACACAAGUUUUGAAAUGGAAUUUUGGGAUGAGAAGAGAAUUUGACUACCAUUUUCAAACAAGCACAAAAUUCAAACAAAAGUUUUGAAUUUUUGGAAAUUUCACUUAAAUAAAUAUUACAAAAUUAUGGAAUAUUACAAACAUAACUGCUCCACCUCGUACCCCGAGAAAUGCGAUACGAAGCCUCAACGUCUGGGAAAUUUGGUUAAAACGAAACUCUACAUUUUUCUCGGACUGUGUGAGUCCUCCUUGAUUUCCUUGAUGGCAAAAAUUAAAAAGGAAGCGGCUGCUUGGGUGGGGGCAGGGAAUACUUGUGUCCCACCUUACAUUGAACAACAGAGCACAAUACUUGUGUCAGUAUAAAAAAAAACUUGUGUAAGGCCAGCUACACAAGUUAGCUCGCAUUUCAUAAUUAAGUUUCAGAUUUCGUGCAAGGCCAGAUACUUUAGCACUGCACUCUUGAUGUACCGAAAGGAAGAUUAACAUAUAAGUACAAUACCGAAGUAAUGACUAUGGAAAUAGGCUUAGAAAUACAACAGAAGCUAGGUACAGUGCAAUAAACCUUAGUGCCUCAUCAUAGCUCCCUUAGCUUCCAGGAAAGUAUAAUGCUGUAUUUGCAGAGAAAAAAAAUAUCACCUUCUAGUGGUGAUCAAGUACGCGAGACUCUUGCACUUGCAAUAGAAAGAUCUGCCAAACCGGUCCCAUUUGACCACAAUAGCAGCUGCAAAGCCAACGCCGAAGCCAAGCCCAACGAAGAGAAACAAAACCACAUCAAUAUGACGAGAUGACUUGUCCCCAUGUGCCACACCUGGAGAGUGAGGUGAACUACCACAAGGAAAUUUUGGCAAUUGCAGCCCACACAAUCCAGCAUUCCCUUCAAAUGAGCUGCUGUCAAAUGUAGAGAACUGACGUGACUGCGGUAUCUUCCCCACCAAGUGAUUGUAUGACAAGUUUAGGGAGCCAAGAAAGGUGAGAUCAGUUAGCUCUUGUGGAAUGUCCCCUGAGAGUUGGUUGCAGGACAGGUCUAGUGACUCCAAAUCAGUCAUGCUUCCAAGUUGGGCUGGAAUUUUUCCAGUGAAGGCAUUGUGUGACAGACUCAGUACGCGUAGUGAUACAAGGCUUCCAAAUGUUUCAGGAAUAGUACCCUCCAAACUAUUUUUUGAGAAGUCAAUUGCUGUUACGGUAGUCAGCAUCCUUCCAAAUGGCAUAUCUGCCCCCUUGUACAUGAUCUCAACAGAAUAUUGAUAUAAAUGUUCUCCGUUAUUGAUAGUUAUAGUGUCUAGAGUUCCGAGAGGUUUCCCAGAACUAUUAAACUCUGCCAUCAUUGACUUUAACUGCUCGAACCAUUGUGGCCUCAAAGUACCAGAGAAGUUGUUUGAGGCAAGAUCGAUAAUUUGCAAGCUAGGGAAACAUUCCUCACAUUUUGUGUCCCCAACAAUAUCACCUAUGGUGCCAUACAUUUGGUUUGAUCUCAGGACGAGUACAGAAAGAUUGGGAAGCCCCCUCAACCAAGAAGGAAAAGCAUCAGCUAUUUUGUUGCUUCCAAAGUCUAUAACCUCCAAGUCUGUACAGUUAGAAAGGCCCCUAGGAAGCCUCCCUUCGAUCUUAUUGCCAUGUAAAUCUAUCGUCUGUAAAUUACAUCUUGUUGUUAUAUUGGAAGGCAGCAUCCCUUUCAAGUGAUUCUCCCUCAAAUUUAAAAAACUUAAGGGGGUAUUUUCUAUAAAACAAGGUGGAAUCGGGCCAUUAAAGUAGUUAUAUGAUAGAUCAAGGACAUCCAGCUCUGUGGCAUUGCAAAUUGAGGGAGAUACAUGGCCGUGUAUAUUAUUUUUGGACAUGCUGAGAUAAAUGGUGUCCCGAAGAUAGGUGGUCCAGUUUGGCAGAAGGGAAGAGAACAUGUUGUUGGAAUAAUCCAAGACUUGUCCUGAUAAUUUUGGCAUAGGGAUCAUCCCUGAAAGUCUAUUGAAACUAAGAUCAAGC